AGUAUUCUAAAUAUCCUUAAAUAUUAUAAUAAAUUAGAAAAAAAUAAAAUUAUUUAGAAUUUUGAAAGAGGAUUUUGGUUAAGAGAGAAGAGAGUGAUGAAAAGAAAGAGAAAUGGGGUGUUUGUGAGAGAGGGUUUUGAGUAAUUCACUUUGUAAUAGGCCAAUCUUGAGCUCAAAACAAAGUUGGAUUGAACCAUACCAUAGUUAGUUAAUUCGGAUUCGGCAAAAAUUCGGUACGGGUAUAAUUCGGAUAAAAUUCGUCUUCUAAUUUUUAAAUUCGUUAAAAAAAACGGCUAAAAAACGGAUUCGCCAAUUAUUCGGAUACGUGAUUUAUACGGAUAUUAUACGUUCACUAAUUAAAAAUUCGGGAUCAAAAAUUCGGCUAUUAAAUUAAGUNAAAAUUUAAAAUUUAAAGUUUGAAAUCUAUUUUUUAAAAUUUAAAAUUUAAAAGUUAAAAUUUAAAAAUUCAAAAAUGAAUCUGAAAAUUAUAUUUAAAUAUUGAAAUUAAAAUAAAAAUAAAAAUUUGAAGUUUAAAUUCAAAAUCAGAAUCAGAUUUCAAGAAUCAGUUUUUUUCUGGUUCUGAUUCUGGGGCCUUCAAAAUUAGUUUUCUGGAUCUAAAACGCAGAAUCAGAUUUUAAAAGUGAGUUGUCAAACGCUUUAUUGGGCCGAAAAUUAUUUUUCAGCCUAAAAACGUUUUUUAAAAACUAGGCCAAAUACUCCCUAAAUUAAGUAGAUAUAAUUUUUCAAGUUUGACUUUUUAUGAGAUUAAUUUGUGAUAAUAAAAAAUAAAAUCAGUUAAGCUGAAUUUAGCUACUGGACUCGGCUGAUUUGACUAAUAUCUAAUAUUCACGAGUUCGAUGAUUGAACUAUUAGUUUAAAUCGUUCACAGAAGUUUUUUGACUAUUUGGUUUAAAGAAUUGAACUGAAUUAAAAAAUUUGAACCCAACUAAAAAUUUGAAAUCCGUUUGAAAAUAUAAACUUGAAAUAAUUAUUUUUUUACCAUAUUUUAAAAAAUAUUAUAUUAAAAUCUAAAUUUAUAAAAUAUAAUUUUAAAUAUUACAUCAAAUAUUUAUAUAUAUUAUAAUAAUAAUAAUAAUAAUAGGGAUAAUAUCUAAUAUUUUAUUAAAAAUUUUAAAAAUAUCUAAUAUACUCGCGGUGGAUUAAAACCCUUAUUGAUUUUCAAAAAUUUCUUCCAAUAUCUUCAAAUCCUUAGGUUAGAAGGGUAUUUUUGUAAUUUUAGAGUAAAUUUAAAUUUUUUGAAUAGUAAUUUAAAGUAAACUAGUGUAGAUACCCGCGCGUUGCUGCGGAUAGAUACUAUUAAAAUAAAAAUUUACAAAUAAAAAAAUUAUCAAUAUAGCUAAAUAAAAUAUUAGUAGGCCAACAAUAAAUAUCAAGAAUUAUAAACUUUUAGUAGAUAGAUACUACUGAGGUGAGGUGGUGACAUUUGCGACCAAAUAAAGACGACUAUAUAGUCAAUAUAUAGCAAGAAACCCAUUAGGAAUAUGUAAGGUAAUUAGUUAACAAAUCUUACUCUUGAGUACACAAAAAUAUAAUAAUAUAUAUACAAUCAUUCACAAAUCACAAUAGAUUAUCUAUCUACCUACUGGAGUAUUUUCUUUGUCAACGCGUGAGUAGAUAUUGAGGUAAUCAAACCACAGAUUCCACUGUACUUUGACUUUUUUAACCUUCGUAAAUAAGGUUUUUCACUCAGAUGUCUAGUUUUAGUGUGCAACCUCAAUUUGAAAAUAACUUUCGAGAUUUACGCAUUGAACAACGAAGCAGUUCUGCCUAAGUUUGGGACCCAAAUUUAAUUUUUUAGGUUUUUUUUUCUAUGCCUUCUUCAUGAAGUUGUUGAGUCCAAUCGAUACACUAUAAAGUUCAGUAUAAUCAACGGCAACAGUAUUAACAGUAUUGUUAAAUUUAACAUAUUUUUAUUGAAAUUAGUUAUUCUGAAUAUUUGUAUGGUUGAUGGAACGAUGCAUUCUAUCAACUGUGAAUUGUUGGUAGCUAAUUAACUAUCGAUUUCAGUGAAUCUUCAAAUCAAUUUAGAAAUUUAUAGGUGUCAAUGAGAAAAUAAAGAUUGGGUGCCAAUUACAAAAUGGCCAGUAAUCGAAGGCAGCAGCAUUAGCAAAAAAGUAGUGGCAUCAGCAGCAUCAGCAUUUGCAACAUCACCAUCAGCAGCAGAAUCAACAGCAGCAGCUUAGGGAGAAGAAACAGCAGUAGUUACAUAACAAUGAUUAGCAGCAGAAAAAUGCCGAGAAGAAUUAAAAGAAAAAGGAAGAGAGCCAGAGCAAGUAACAGUAGCAGUAGCAGUAGCAGCAUUACUGUCAUCAGGAACACGAUCGAUAGUAGCAGCAAAAAAAGACAAAGAAAGCGCGAGAUUUAGACUACUUAAUGUUGACUUUAAUUGGUUAAUUUAGAAGAUUAUUACCACAAACAAACUACACUCCCAAUUAAAGAGAAUCAUUGAUAUUUACAAUCCCAUUAAAAGAAAAUCAUUGAUAUUCAUUGAUAGGUCCUAAAGUACAUCUAUUGAUCAACCAUGAUAAUAAUAAUAAAUACAAACUUAUAAAAUAUUGAAGUAUAGAAGAAGGCCUUGACUAACAAAUAUAACAAAUGAGUCCCUUUGGAAUCAGGGCAAAAUCUAACAGCAACACUUUCAUGUUGAAGUGUAUUUAAGAUUUUUUUUUUUACCUUAAUUUUUGCAAUAUAGUUCUGAAUGGCACAUAUAAACCUUGGAUGGCUCCAAAAUUUGUCUUUGAUGCAGUUGGACCAAAAUUAAUACCUGAAAAGCAUCGGCAAAAAAUUGAUAAAUUAGUUUCUUUUCUUUGUUUCAGGAUGGGCAAAAUGUGGGAAAUGAUGUACUUACUGAAAAACACAACAAUUUAAGGCAUAUUAGUGAAGUUUAAUUACCAAUUAGUCUAGAAAUAAGAAAUGGUUACAUGAAGCUUUACGGGUUAAGCAUAAAGGUAAAAAGGAACAAAAAAUAGAAUGAUUGCUACACGGAAAAGCCAUAGGAUUCCUGAGGAGAAGACAAAAACACUGUUAUAAGAAAAAGAAAUUCAAUAUAUUAGGCAAGAUUGCAUAGAUGCAUUAUAUAGGCAAAAGCAUAGCAGCGAGGAGGAGGGAUGUAACCGCAAGUAGGGCAUACGAAUCGGCGUGGAGGGUAGAGGAAUUGAUCAAAAACGGUUCGAGCAUCCAUCAUAUGUAACGGAUUAGGGAAGAGAGGAGAGGCCAUAUGAAACGGAGAGAGGAGAGGGAACGACGCAGGAAGAAAGGAAAGAAAACGCUCCAACAGAGAGAGGAGAUGGACUCGGUGGAGAGGAGAGAGAAAAUGGCGAAACGCUCCCUUUUGUACGAAAAAACUGUCACGCCCCGGGGUUCCUUUNUUUUGGGCCGAAUUAUUCGCGAAUUCCGUUUAAUUCGCGAAUAAUUCUUUUUACCCAAAAAAACGCGAAUUUUUCCGAAUUUUUGGGAAAAAUACGAAAACGGGAGUUUUAUUCGGCAUUUCAAAAAUUCGCGAAUAAUUCGCGAAUAAUUCGCGAAUUAACUAACUAUGAACCAUACAUGAAUUGAGCCUUUCUGAUUCCAGAAUAAAAUGAAAAUCGAAAUUCGUUUUCCAUAAAAUAAACAAUAACUAUUAAAAUUAAUAAACUUCAUUUCGAUUCCAUAGUUUAAAAUAGAUAAACCAAAAAAAUUCUUAAUCAGAAACUCUGAGACCAUAAUAAAAGUGUCAUCAUAUUUGUGUUAAGAAAAGUGAGGCUUUGAACUUAGGGCCCGUUUGGUUCGAGUUAUGUAAUAUUACAAAGUAUCUCGACAUAUCCAGAUAUUUUGAAUUUCGGCGUGAGAUUACUACUAAUGCUGCAUUAGCGCGUUUGGCUUAAUGCAAUAAUGUAAUACUAGAUUACAGUGUUUAUAGCAUUAAUACGUUUGGUUCAGUUUAUAAAAUUUAGUAAUCCUGACAUAAAAAUUAGUUUUUUUUCAAAAUUGUCCUUGUCGUAGUCAUUUGAAUAUUAUUUUUUACGGAAAUGACGAAUGGAGGGAAGACCUGGGAGGACGACGCAAUAGAAGAUAGGUGUUCGUGCGAGAGAGAGAAAAAGAUAGAGAUAGAGAUAGAGAGAGAGAGAGAGACGUGGAGAGAGAGAGAGCAAGAGAAAGCGGCAUGCGAGAGAGAGGGGGAAGGCGAGAGAGAUGAAAAUAAUACAGUUAAUUAGAUUUGGGGUUGUUGGAGGGUAAAAUUGUCAUUUUACAUAAUAUGUAGUAUUAAUGGGUUUCAAUAAUGCAAGAUACACGACCCCCCUCUCGUUAAUAUUUUCGAUGUAAUACUGCUCGAUUUGUAAUGAUAUAUUAAUGACUAGAUUACAUAGCGGAUUAACCAAACACAAUUUAUCCCUGCCAGGAUAACUCGAACCAAACGCACCCUUAGAGGGAUAUGAAAAAGACAAGGAUAUUAGAGACAACGAGUAUUAGGCCAUCUUCAAUGUGACGCCUCAACUUUUCAGGGAGUCACUUAUUCUAGAACAACUCUCGUCUUGACACAUUUAACUCUUUUAACCUUUUGGGUUUAUCCACCACCAGCAAUACUUAAGCUGGGUUAAAAGUUUUAAUUCUGUUAUAUCUUAUAUAGGACUAUAUGGGGUCUCAGAUCCAAGGCCAUAGACCUUUUUUUUUUACUUUAUUUGUCUCCCUCCAAAGAGUGUGCAUUGCCAUACUUAAAAGGUUGACAACAUUGGUCCACAAACAUUCAUGAUAAUUGAGUAACUUGGUAACAUUGCUACCCAUUAUGGCUUUUCUUGAUUCUCUAAGGCCCCAUUUGAUUUCGAAAUAACGAAUAUUGGGAUAAAAAUUUUUUUUAUUCCUAAAGUAAUUACUCUUCCGGAUUAGUCAGGAAUAAAAAUAAAUUUAUAUUUGAUUUGUAAUGCUGCUAUUUUCGGAAAUUUAAAAUUGUAUUAAUUUGAUUAAUUUUGUGGAAAGUAGAUGAUAGGGGAAUCGAUAUUUUACAAUAAAAUUAGACAUAAGAUAUACUAUAUAAAAAGAAAUAGUAAAAUAUAAUAUUUUUUUUUCACAUUCUAAUUAAACUUAAAUUUAAUAAAAAUAAAUUUAUUAUAAUAUUUAAUUAUAAUAAUUUACUAUAAUAUUUAAAGAUAAAUAAUAUGUAUUAAUAUAGUAGAAUUGAUAAGUUUAUAAUAAAAGUAAUUUAUUAUAGUAUGUAAUAUAUUAUGUCUAUAUAAUUUACAUUUAUUCAAUUUAUAAUCUUAAUAAAGCUUGGAACUAAAACUUGAAAGAGCACUAAUCCACCAAAAUGGUGGAAUAGUUUAUCUCAAGCUAUUUUCGAAUAACCGAAAAUAGCAAAGUUUUGAUCAAAACAUUUUAUUCCUGCCAAAAAAUAUCCCGUGUGACGGAAUAGUAAAGAUAACUAUAGUUAUCCUCGCUUUAUUUCUGAGCCAAACUAGACUGAAUACCCUACAAUAAAAUAGAAAAUUUGGAUCCAAUUUGGACAUAGCUGUCCAUUUUUGUGCUUAAAUAGGUUGCAUUUUAAGAAUCGGGCUGCUCAUAGCAUAUCGAGUUUUUGUUAUCCACUUUGUUUUCGAUGAUAGAGAAAUUAUGUAAUAAAUAACAUAUAGAAUUUAUGCUAUUCAUAUUUUUUUCAAUAAUGAAAAAUUCAAAUCGGCGAUCGAUACUACUAAACAUGAUGUAGAAUAUUAAAACUCUUCCGAAAGCAAGUUUCAUAUUUUUCUAAUAUCAUUUGCUCACGCAUUUAAGUGGCCAUGAAAUGACUAGUCACAAUCAAACAUAGGGAUGCAAACGGAGCGGAUAGGGGGGUAGGAGGGUUCCCCACCUCUUGCCCCAAUUCUUGUCGGGAUGAGGCAGAUUCGAGACGGAUUAUUUUUUAUUUUAUUUUUCGUUCCUACUUACCGUCUCAUUCGGGGUGGAUCGGAGCGGGAGCGAAUUUUUGGUGGAUUUUUAAUAGAUCGGGGCGGAUUGAAGGAAGAAAAGGAUCUCCUGCCUCCCCCUCCAUUUACUUGGCAGAUCGGAACGAGUUAUUUUUUUUUUAUAUUUUUUGCUCCCACUUACCACCUAUUUGGGGCGGGAGCUCCACCAAUCUGGAUCCAUUUGCAUCCCUAGUCAAGUAGCAUUUUAAAAAUAGUGGAUAUAAUUAUUGAAUUCAAAUGUCAAGUAUUUUUUUAUCUUGAUCUGAAUAGUGAAUAUAAUGUUCUGCAAAAGUUCGGUCAAUUUUGAUUGUUCUAUACGGCUAUAUGAAUAGAUGCUUUGUAUGGGACAUUAAAAUUUGUUAAUUUUAAAAUCUUUUGAUUAUCAGGUAAAUAUUUUUGAAAAAUCCUAGAACCUGUUUUGCUGGAUAGUUUAAUUUUUUAAAAUAUAUUUAACUAUAAUCGUACAGAAAUAUCCCUCCAAAAAAUAUUCAAUAGUCAAGUUCUUCCUUAUCUUCUUCUUUUUUUAAAUCCAUUGCAACAUUUUUUCUCACUCCUUUUCUCCUAAAUCCUUUCUUUUGAGAAAAAAAAAGUUGUAAAGGAAAUUGAAUGGAAAAGCAAUAUGGGCGAAGCAACAUACGUCGUGGAUGAAUGGAGACGGAGAGAUUCUAAUUAUAGGUUCGAAACAAGUAUGAAGAAGAGAGAGGAAGGGGAAGACGAAGAGGAAGUAGUAGAAGAAGAAGAAGAAGAGUUCCCAUUACUAAAAUUUUGAUUAGGAGAAGAAGAUAUAAUAUAAGAGGGAUAAAAAUAUCAAGUUAUCUGAUUGACAAACUAGGGUUAAAUAUUUAACGGUUAACUAAGUUUUUUCUAACGGAUUCUAACUGAAGGGAUAUAUUUGAAAAUAUUAAGACUCUUACCGGAACAAUAUAUAAAAAUUAAACUUUAUAGAAAAAUAUUUAUAAUUUAUUAUGUUUGCAGGGACAUGUAUGUAAUUAAUCUAAAAAAAAAAAAAAAAGCUCCUGCAUAAUUGCAAAGUUCAGAGGAUGUUCGUACAUUUUUCCUUUUUUUUUUUUUUGUUGUUCUUUUAAUCGGAAGAUAUUUUUCCGUUUCGUCGAUUUCAAAUCGCACUCCUCCUUCGAUCUCCUCUUCGAUCGGCUCGAGGUACGAAACCCUAAUCCAAGCCUAGAAUCCAUCUUCCCUUUCUCCGAUCCGAUGCUGGAUCAUUGCAUUUCGACCCGGUUUGCACUCUCUACUUUGGAUUUUUCCAAAUCGUUUCCCUUUGAUUUGAUUCAGUUUCGACUUCUCACGAAGUUCUUGCUAAAAUUCAUGAAUUCGUUCUCAAAUCUCACGAUCUCGUGAUCCGCUUAGGGUUUGAUGCCUCGUUUUACGGCAGUGGCGUCGUUAGGGUUUUUUUUUUAACCUUGUUUUGUUUGUUCAAUUGUUUCCGUGAAUUGCUUUAUAAUUGUGGGAAUAAUAAUCUUAUUGAGAAAGGGAAAUUGUUAGUAGGAUCAUCCUUAGAUUUGAAUGCGAUGUUUCUCUUGUAUGCAUAUCUACUUGCAUUGUAAAUGUGGAGAAAUGAGGAAAAACAUAACCUUUUGAGACAUCCAAGUGAAAUUGUUGGUGAUGUGUUUGUGUAUACAAUCAUAGGAGCAAGAACAGAUUGAUAGCAUGUAGGCAGUGAGAUUGGAAGAGAUUAGAAACUCGGUGAUGCUUUACUUCGGGUGGGAAUUGAGUUUAGGCCGUGUUUUGGUGUCGGAAUAAGAUGUCCAUUGAUAACUUUGGGAGUUUUUUGGUUCCUCGAAAACUCGUGGAAAAUUAAUUUUCGGAAAAAAGUUUUUCAUGGAAGACACUCUUAUGUAGUUUUUGUUUUCCGGAUGAAUACUCUGGAAAACAAAAAUGAGUCUUUUCCAUGAAAUUUGGAAACAAGUUUGCUGGAAAUAUUGUUUUUCCUGGGAACCAAACCAACAGAAACUACUUUUCUGGGCAUAAAAAUGUGUUUUGGGAUUUUUUUUUUUUUUUGCCCCAGAAAAAAAACACCCUUUAUUUGGUAUGAAGAUUUUCUUUUGUAAUUGGAAGUUCACAGUUUGAUUUUGCUCCUUCAAAGGGCUUUACAUCCAUGAUUUGGUAAGAUAGUCUCUUUCACCGACGAGGUAAUUUAUCUUAUUCUGAAACAAUGACUUAAUCACUUCUCAUCUGCCAAAUACUACAUGCUUGUUGAAUAAAUUGGAGAGAUACACUGAAAAAGAUGUUCGUUUAUCUAAAUAGGGCCUUAGUUAUGUUGAUUGACAAGAUUGAUCUCACACAAAACUAAUCUUACCUGAUGAGGGUUGAUACCUCUAUGAAAUGCCAAAGCUAUUGACUUGGCAUGCCGGUGGAAAUUGGUUUUCGUCUCUCUUUCUGAAUCGGUGUACAUCUCUCUCUCUCUCUCUCUCUCUCUCUCUCUCUCGUGUAUGAAAUUGAAUGAGUUUUCUUUUCUCUCUCUCUUUUCUUUCCAAUGACAAUUUCUGGUAUUCAUUUUGGCUUCCCAGUGAGAUAGAGAACUAACGCGGUUCAUGAACCUUCUCUCCCUAAUGAUUCAUGUUUUUGGCCUGUGAUUAAACAAUCUUUCCUUCCUUUUAUUGACCAUUAAGAUGUUUGAUCUCUUUAUUUGAUGAUGUUUUCAGAAUUUUGUAGAUAAUGUAAACAACAAAGCUAAAUUUAUUCUUGUUUAGUUUCGUUAAUUUAUGGGUAUUCAGCUGCUGCAAAUAGAUGUCAUAAUUAUAUUGUAUAAGGAAUAAUUUAAAUUUUGAAUUAGUAUGUCUUACUAAGGAAAAGGAAUAGUGAUCAUUUUUGUUUUUUUAAUCUCCUCUUUACGUGGGGAGGAUAGAGAAGGACAAUGUAAGGAGAGAAAGUUGUUCUCUGGAAUUUGGACUGUACCUAGGGAGUAAAAUAGGGACAUGAGGAGCGAAAUGGAGAGACAUUUUUCCUUGUACCCUUUGCCCUCCAAUAGUUUGAGAAAUGGAGAAAUGGAGAGAUAACAAACAAACAAAACCAACCAUCUCUAUCCUCCGAGUACCUUUUCUGUGAAUAGAGAAUCCCAAUGUUUAUUUUCAUCCAAUUUAUGAUAGAUAAGAAAUCAAUGUGAUACUUUCCCCAGCUCACGACAUAAAAUGCCAGUAUGUUAGGUUGGUGAAUUUGUUGAUCAGAUCUAGAUGGCCCAUUUAAGAGCAAAUAGAAGCACUCCACAAAAUCAUUAUAGAGAAUUUCGAUUUAGUGACAAACUAUUUAAAGUUGUAUAUGGAGGGUGAUGAUGAUAUCUUUAGUUAUUUUCUCUUCAUUGAUGUUCUCAGAUUUGGAUAAAAGAAAGUUAAUUCCCUCAUCUCCUUUUUCAAAAAUCAUUUCUGUAUUUUUCUCUUCUUUAAUAUUUCCAUCUUUUGCCUCCCCUUUUCAAGCAUGCAAACAGCGUUACAUAUAAAGUUCAGUUGCUCAAAUAAAUUUAAUGAUACAGAGGUUAUAUGUGAAAUAUCUUCAUCCAUACACUCGGAAAAAUAAAAGCCCCGAAUGAAAGAUCAAUUCGAUUUCAUGUACAUGCUUUUAGAUGUUUUUCUAAUGUAGGGAUGAAAUAGGAGAGCAACAAUUGGUGAAAACAUGGAUGAAGAGUUACGCAAUAUAAAGAAGUGGAUCAUAAUCUAUCCUGUGUAUGUAAACUCAAAGAAGACAAUUGCUGAGGGCCGCAGGAUCAGUGCUGCCAACGCUUGUGAGAAUCCCACUUGCAUUGAGAUCAGCGACUGCUGUGCGCAUUUGAAGCUUCCCCAUGCAAUUGAGGUAUCCCAAUGAUUUUUUGCUUUCCUUUUUGAGUUUUUCAUUUGUAAUUUUUCAUUGUUUUUCAUAUGUUUAGAUACAUAAUUGCAGCUAGAUAAGGCAUACCCUCGAGACUUCAUGCAGCGGGGGAGGGUCAGAGUGCAGUUGAAGCGAGAAGAUGGGACUUUGACUAAUCCUGCUAUCGCUACCAGUAAGGGUUAAUGAACCUAAAUUUUCUAUUUAUAUUUUCUUUUGGCAGUGCUAUACUUUAAAAAAAUGGGUAGGGAGUGGUAUUUCUCUUGUUAGAACUCUACUUCCGAUGUUAAGGCACUAGACAAAUGAAUAGAACACAAGAUAGUAAAUCUCAGCUUCAGUUCUAGUGUUGUUGGAUUUCAAUAGUUGCUGUCUCAGCAUUUAUAGUGUCGUUGAUAGUUUCAGGCUUCGGUUUUGGCGCCACUGACUAUCUCCAACUUGCAAAAUCUUUUGAACAGGUUAAAGUUGAUUUGGAGAACCAUUUGAUUAAAAUUUACUGUGUGCCGUUUGACAUAUUCAGUGAUGGUUUAUGUUUUACUUUCUUAAUAAUAUUAUAGGGCAACUAAGUACCGUUUUAAGGUCUGCUAAGAGAUCAUGGAGUGACAUAAGAAAUAGCAUGUCUGUCUGAAUCAAGUUUUAAUACUUUGGGGGUGUUUGGUUGGAGGUAGGUGAACUGAGGUUGCAAUUAACUUCUGAGAAAUUGAGUUCAUACGCCCCCCAGGACUAAGCGUACGGCAGAGGGCUGCUUUCAACUGUUUUUGAGCUUCACUCACUUCUAUUUCUGAUUCGUUCAACCGAGUAAAUAGAAGUGGUUAUAUCAAUUUGGAACUAUACAUGCUAGUUAAUUGUUACGUCCAGCCAAACUCCCAAUUAGAGCUAUUUUUAGCUUCUUUUAAUCUUUUAGACUGAACAAAUACACUUUGGUGUUUUACUAUCGUUUCAGAGAAUGAAAUAGAUUUUUUCUGAAUUUCAGCUGAAACAUUCAACCAUCCUUUUAAAGUAUGAAUUUUGGUUGUUGGGGUGUGGAACAAUUGGCUAAAAGUGCGAGGGGAGGGUGUUACUAGGAAGUCAUGGUGAAGAAACAUUUGGUCUCUCUCAUAGCUUGCUUGGAAUCCUUCAAAUCAAUGAUUUGGAUGAAAUUGCAGAUCAGAAUUCAUUAGAUUGCCCAUGGGAAACAUUAGUAGGAGUGAAUUGAAUGGAACCGAAUCGAUUCGUGAUGAUUUGGAUUUUGGAAUUAUUUCGGUCGAGUAUAUGUACAAAUCCGGUGUUUGAAGUCGGAUUUGCCAUAGUACAGUUUGUGUCUCCCCCACAUAAGAAAAUAUAUGCCCAAAAAUACUCUUGCUAAUUCCUUUGUGAGCCACGAAAUUCAAGUCCAAAACCAACUCAUUUGGACUCCCAGAAUUACAAAUUUAUUAAAUUCUAUCUUGAUUUGGUACCAAACCAAGCGCGAUAAACAUUUCAAACAUUUUAUAAUGACCUGACAUUCAACGUCAUUUUCAUCAUUUGAAGUUCUCCAUUUGAGUGCUUUUCGUUAAACUUUAAGAAGCCAAAUUGCUCAUCAACCUAACGGUUAUGCUUUAGCUCAUUCUUAAACUGCAGUUGUUAACUUGCUCUGCACGUGCAUGCUUCCUUAGUUUUUUGGUUUCCCAUUGCUUCACGAAUUUACCUAUCACCUCUAGAUGUUGUUUUGAAACUGAACCUUCGAAUUCAGAUAUGUUCAACCUGUUCUCUUUUCGAUCUUUUCAUUAUUGACAUAAUCCAACUGCAUUACAGGGAAGCAACUGAUGCUCCAAAUCGCGGAGCUGAUUCCGAAACAUCAGGGGAGGAUCAAGAAACAGGAGCCCGCGAGUAGUUCUGCGACUGCGGGGACUUCAAAAUCUGGAAAAGGGGGGAAGAAAAAGAAGUGAUAAUAUUCUAAUUCGUCGCAACGUGGAACCUGUGUUCUUGCCGGUAAUCUCUCUGCAAUUGUGAGAAUUUUCACCUCAUUUAGCUCUUAAAGUUAAAACUGAUUGUUGUAGAAAUUUUUGACUGUGCCAAGAUUCCAAUCCUAAAAUUGUGAUUUUUCAAGAUUGUUUUUCAAAUGUGUAAACUGCGCUGCUAGUCCCUAAACUUUUAGCGGAGUUUUAUUUUGGUCCUCAAACUUUCAAGUUGAAUGUUAGACCCUAGACUUUGAAAAAAGGUUUCAUUUUAAUUUUUGUGUAUAUUAAACAUAAGAUGGCAAAUUAUUUUUUUAGUUUUGGUACCUUAUAGUUUGAAGCAUCCCACUUUGCUAUCUUGUGGUUUUACUUUUAUCUCGUCUUUAAGAUAGGUUAUUAGAAAAGAUACUAAAUUAAUAUAUUUUAUAAAUCACAAGAUAGCUAUUUAAAAAUAUAUGUUGAUAAAAUGUUAUAAUUUGUCAUCACGUGGUUUGUAAAAUAUAUUAAUUUACUAUUAUGUAGUUUAUAAACUUUAACGGUAGGUGUUAAAUGUUAACAUUGAGAUAAAAGUAAAAUCACAUGGUAGCAAAAUAAAACACUUCAAACUAUAGGGUAUUAAAUUGAAAAUGCGCAAAUUCAUUGGGGGCAAAUUGAAGUUUUUUCUUUAUUUUAUAUGAUAUAUUUGAAUACAAUCAUUCAUUAUGUUACUCUCUUUUUUUUUUGGGAAAAUUUCAAAUAUCACCUCUAUGGUCUCGCACUUUUUACUCUAGUAUCAUGUAAUUUAAAGUGUAUCAAUUUAGUACCCUGUGGUUUCGCACUUUUUCACUUUAGUAUCAUGUAGUUUUGCACUUUCUCACUUUAGUACUCUGUGGUUUAAAGUGCAUCAAUUUAAUACUCUAUAGUUUUAUUUUUCUCUUUUCGUCGGCUCCUCUAUUAAUAUUUUGUUAAAUUAUAUACAAAAAAUUUUCAGAUACUCUACCUAGAAUUAUCAAAUAUUUAUUUUAUUACCCUUUAGUUUUAACUUUAUUAUUGAUUUUUUUUCCCUCCGUUAAUAUUUCAUUAAAUUAUAUACAAAAAAAACUUCAGAUACUCUAUCUAGAUUUAUCGAAUAUUUUACUUUAGUACUCUUUAGUUUUAACUUUGUCACUGAUUUAACAAAAAAAAAUAGUGAAAUGGAUAAAAAAAAAAAGAAAAGAAAAAUGAAACCACAGGAUACUAAUUUGAUAUAUUUUAAACCACAGGGUACUAAAGUGAGAAAGUGCGAAAUCUCAGGGGCUAACUUGAUACACUUUAAACCACAGGGUGCUAAAGUGAAAAAGUGUGAAACCAUAGGGGGGUAUUUGAUAUUUAUCAUUUUUUUUUUUGUCCAUUUAGAAGCAUGCAAGAAAUAAUUUAUACUCUUUGGUAAGGAAUUUAGACGUCGUUCAACGUUCAGGGACUAAAUUGGACCAUUGUUCAAAAUUCGGUGUCUCGAUUAUGGAAUUUAAUAGUUUUGAGGACUAAAAGGAAACCCCAGAUAAAGUUUCGGGGCAAAUAGUGUAAUUCGCUUAUAUUGUGUUAUAGGAUAAUUUAUUUCUUUUGAUUCGGUUUUUGGACACCUAGAUUCCAUCUAAAUAUAAUUAAGAAUCAAUCACCCUUUUAUUAUACAACUAUAUGAAUAUUUUUUUUCGUUUAUUCUUAUUUUAUCUUUUAUUUGUUGGCAAAAAUGUUUAUCAAGUGACUAUAUCUUUAUAAUCUAAAUCCUGGCGAUGUAUAGAACUAUUGUUUCUUAAUUAGGUGUGAUUAAUCUUAAACACUUAUUACGAUGAGUUCCCUAAAGAUCAUAUAUACUUCCCCAAUUUCCUUGCAACAAAUUAGGAUGAUAUCUAAUAUAUUCUUCAAAACUGCAAAAAUAUAUAAUAUAUUUCUACUUGAUCAAAAUAUCCUUAUUGAUUUUUAAAAAUUUUCUUUAAAUAUCUCCAAACUUCUAGAGUUUUUUAAUGGGAUUUGGGGUUUAGAAGGGUAUUUUGGUAAUUUCAUGAUAAAUUUAAAAAUAUUUAAUAGCAGUCAAGGAUAAAUAAAGAAAGCCCCAAAUAAUUUUCUAGACACAAAAUAAACUGCACAGUGCUUUUCUCUGGAGAAAAGUUGAACAAUCGGCAUAAUUUAAGAUAAAAAUGUAUCGAAUUUAUCUAAAUUAUGGACUAUGUUGAUUUGGCUAUCGAAUCUUUUAACUUGAAAAUUUUUUCAAUUUGUUUGAUUUGAGUCAGUCAACUGCACUUUGACUUCAAAAUUUAAAUGCGUUGUUUUUUUUUUAUUAUUAUAGAUUUAUCUAGCAUAUUUCACAAAAUUCUGACUCACUCAAAUCAAAUAGAUUGAAAGGUCGAGCAGUAAAAUCAAAUUUUAAAAGGUUGGACAGUUAAUUCAAAAUGGUUUAUAAUUCAGAUAAGUUUUGUACGUUUUUACAAAAUUUCAAUUAGCUUUCCUGUGGUUUACUUAAUUUGUAUUUGCCAGAAUGGGUAUAUUUGAAUCUGAGAAAACUUAACUGCUGGUCCAACUCCAGCCUUGUGAAGUUCAGGUUGUUGUUCUCAAGUCAACUUCCCUUUUAGUUUGUUUGUUUUGAUAAAAGUUACUUGUGUAAAACAGUGAGGUAUUAUCAUUUUUGUUGUUUGUUUUACUAAAUUUAUUGUUAAGUGAAUUUUUUUUCCACCAUUAAUAUUUAUUUCAUCAUAAAUCACCCACUCUUAAUAUUUCAGAACUUUCAAGAUAAAUUUUAGAAAAAAAUAAUUUUUAUUAUGUAAUAUUUAAUAAUUUUUAUGUAAAGUGAAGAGCAGCGAAAUCAAAAUUAGGCAUGCGAGGUGUAAAUUUAACUUCAUGUAGAACAUUUUUGUACACUUACAUCAAAACAAACAACGAAAACUACCGGUCUAUCACUUCCACCGAAACUCCACUUCUCAGAAAUAAAGCUAUCCCAAUCUUGUAGUUGCACUCAGGUUUACUUUUACUUCAUCAUAAGAGCUUAUUGAUUAAAUGAAAUAUCAAAGUUAUAGAUCUUAUAGAUCAUAGAAUUGCGAAAAUUUACUGUAUCACACUUACACUACAUCAUCAAUAACCGGUCAAUCGCAUCUCUUUUUUUGAGAGAAAAGUAUAAUAAAAAUAUUUUUUCUAAAAAUCAGGGUGAGAUGGGUGAACCCAAGGUAAAAAAAUCUGAUCGACUGAGGAUGCCACAUCAUAUCCGGUGCAUUCUAGACUUUUUUUCAUAAAAUGUAGAAUGCAAAUUGUAGAAUGAUUAAAUUAUAUUUAUCACAUUGUGAUUUGUAUAAUAUAUAGUACUUUGUUAUCGUAUUUCAUGGUAUAUAGGCCCCUAUGAUUGAUAAAAGUUAAAAUCGCAAGCGCUACUAAAGUGCAACUUUUUAAGCCACCGUGGGCAAAAUUAUAAACUAUUAGAUAAGAAAAGUUUGAUCUUAAAACUGCUGAUCUUAAGGCUUGUUUGAUUCAUCUAUUUUAAACUAUAAAAUCAAAAUGAUAUUCGUUGAUUUCAAUAGUUGUCAUUUAUUUUAUAGAAAUCGAAUUUUGAUUUUCAUUUCACUCUGAAAUGGAAAUGGCCAAAUCCAUUUAAAGGCCUAAGUCCAGCUUUGAAUCCAUGAUUGAUUCAUUCCAAAGUAAACCAUUUAAAUCCUUCUCUCACAAACACCUAUUUCUUCUUUUUUUUCAUCACUCUUCUUUUUUUCAAUCAAAGCGCUCUCUUAAAAUUUUAGAUGUUCAUUCUAAUUUUCAUUUUAAUAAUGAACUAAAUAUUUUUAGAUGAUUCGUCUUUUUUAUUUUUCAUUACAAUACAAUCCAAUUCCCCCCACCCCCAAAACAAAAUAAUAAUAAAAUAAAAAAAAUUUGGUGUAGAUAAUACCCAUUGAUGAGGCAAAGGCAGGUAAGGUAAAUACCCGACCCGACCCGACCCUGUUUAUUGUUUUCGGUUCGAUUCGGGUCCUAUCCGGGUCAGUUUUGACCCGACCCAAUAAGUAAGAAUCCAGUGAGUUGGUCGGGCUCGACUAUUUGGUAGUAGGAAUGCAAGAGCAGAUGGCAAAACAACCCGCCCCCUUUUGUAGACAAAUUGUGAGAAAACGUUCUGUCAAUACUCGUUUUUUUAUUUUUAUUUUUUAUUAUUUAAAAAUUUAUAUUUUAUAUUUUUAAAAUGUAGAAAAAAUUUAUAGAGAGAUGCAGUGUUAACUGUGAUAACAAAAUGAUCAAAUUAUCCGUCACUCUCUUCGUCUAUUCUGCUCAUUCGUAGCCUCUCCUUCUUCAUCCUUCGUGCCUUCCUCAACCAUGGCUCCGACUCCCUUUUCUCCAUCUACUCUCCUGCUCCUCUUGCACCCUCACCGCCCCUUCAUUUCGGCAACGAUAGGGAGGACAUCAAGGUGGGCAUGGAUCGAGAGAUGGGCGAGGGCAAAUGCGAGGGAGCAGAGGAGGGCGAGGGCGUGUGCAUGGGUGCAGACGGAGGGGUGGGCGAGGGCGAGGCGGCGAGGUGGGCAAGGCGGUGCGGUCGAGGAUGUCGGUGAGGAGGGAGAAGACGCAUCUGAGAUAAAAUUUUCAAAGAUAUUUUGGAUAUAAAAAUAGUAUAAUAAUAAUAAAAUAUAAACAAAAUCUUAAUACAACACUUACGGUGAGAGCCGAAAUGAAUAUUUUUUAUCUUUUUAAGGAGACAAAGUAUAGAUUUUUAAAUAACAAAAAAAUAAAAAAUCAAGUAUUGACAAAGGAUUUUUUGCAAUUUAGUAUAAUUUUUAUCAUCAUAUUUUUGACCGUCAUUCACCGCUCCAUUUAAGACGAGUCAGGACGAGAGCGAAUAUUUGAUCGAUCUUUGAUGGAUCGGGACGGAGGCCCGCUUCAUUUUCUUAGUGGAUCAGGACGGCUUCGUAACGAAUUAUCCCCAUUCGAAGCGGAUCUGAGUGGGAGCUCCACUAAUUCGAAUCCAUUCACAGCCCUAUUUGGUAGUUCAAACGCAAGCUUUUCAUGCUCUUUUUGCUAUUUAUUUUUAUUUCCUUUUUUUCCUUCAUUAAAAUCUGUUACAGAUUCUAUUCCUAUAAUAAAUACAAUCUUUUUCAAAAUUUAACAAAAAAAUCUUCCUAAAAAAGAGAACGAAAUUUGGGGGGAAAAUUACAUCCACAAGAUUCAAAACAUUUGGAUUCUUAAAAACGAUUUAUAUAUAUUUAACCAGAAUUUCAGCUUAAUUGGUUUGAUUUAUCAAGUUAAUCUUGAGUAAUCUUUUUAAUUAGAUUCAGUGAUAGUUUAUACAAUUAUAACUACAUUUACACAUACAUAAACAAAUAUAGAUAUAUUUAAACAAAUAUUCAUAUACAUAUAAAUAUAUAGUUUUACUUUGUUUUUAGCUUUAAAAUAAAAAACUACAACAUGAAACUUAUCUGAACUAUGGACUAUUUUCAAUCGACUACAUGACCGUUUAAAAUUUUGAUUCUACUCCCAACUUUUCAAUUUCUUUGGUUUGAAUCAGUCAACGAUACUUUAACUUCAAAUUUUGAAUGCGUCAUUUAUCUUCACGAAUUUAGUUAAUAUAUUUCAUACAAUUUUCGUAAUUAUAAAUUCGUUUGUCCAUAUUUUAGAUAAGUUUUAUACGUUUUUACUAGCUUCUGAACCCAAAACUGAGAGUCGCAACUUAGUAAAAAAUUCAAAUUAAACCAAAUUAAAUUUAUCAUAAAUAUUUAAUUAUUAUUAUUUUAAAUUUUAUUAUACAGAACUAUUGGUCCAAUCACAAACUUUCCAUACUCCUUCCCUUUUUUUUAUUUAAUUUUUUUUAUUCAUUAAAAUCUGUUUAGAGAUUUUGUUCCUAUAUAAUAAAAGAACAUAUUUUCUUUUUACCAAAACUUAACAAAAAUAAUAUAUACAGAGUAUGGCUAUAAUGCUAUCAACAAAAUCAAACAUUCGGUGCUAUUAAGUUUUUCAUCGUUAGAUUUAUUUCUUUAAUCAUUUUCAUCCGUUAGAUAACACUGCUCAAUCAAUCAUCCACUCAAUUCUAAAAAAUCAAUAUUAUUCUAACCGUACAUCCCUUUAUCCAAGGGCCAAAAAUAUAAUAGCACUAUAAAAUGAAAUUAAGAUAAAAGCAUAUAGAGAUAUAUUUCUGCGCUCUUCGGUGGGAGAGCAGAAAAUAUAUCAUAACCGACGAUAUGCAAAUGUAAUAUUACGUACGAAAACAAAUAGUACUUUCUCAUCGCACGUAACACAAUCUCCCCGCAAUUGGAGUUAGGGUAAAAGCAUAUAAGGAUAUGCUUCUGAUAUUUUUUCAACGUAUUUUUCAAUACUUUCUCACCACACGUAACGCAAUCUCUCCGUAAUUUCAAACUAAAUCAAGAAAUAAUAAAUCGGUGCUAUUAAUAAUAUGUAUAUUAUAUAUAUAUAUAUAUAUAUAUAUAUAUAUAUAUAUAUAUAUAUAUAUAUAUAUAUAUAUAUAUAUAUUUUAUUCCAUAAACAGAGGGAGAGAGAGAAAGGAAGGAGGAUUAGGUGCGAAAUCACAGCCGUAGGAUUGUGAUCUCUCUCGCCCCCACUCUUAUCUUUCUCUAUUUCUGUUUCCGUCCCUCUAAAUAUAUUCCUCUCCUGAGUGUGUGUGUUUUUAUUAGGGUUUUAGAGAGAGAGAGAGCAAAAAGAAGAAGAAGAAGAAGAGGAGGAGAUAUAUGCAUUCUUUUUUCUCCAUUUCCUUUUCACAUAUGCAACAGAGAUUAUUAUUGUUAGUGGGUUGGAAAUCGAUUUCCAUGCGAAGGUAUAAUAUAAUCCUUUUUUUUUUGUUUCAAUUUUUUUUUUUCAUAUUUUCUUAGAUUAAAUCCUCAAUUGUUUUUUUUUUGUUGUAAUCAGGGUUGGAUUUGGGGUGAAGUACUUUGGGUUCCAGCAUAUAGAAGCGUGUAAUUUCCUCUUCAUCUUCUUAAGAUCUGGAUUUGUUCCUGAUUAUUUCGAUUUUUGUUGAGAAUUUUGAUCGAGAGAGAGAGAGAGAGAGAGAGAGAGAGUGAGAGAGAGAGAGAAAGUAAAUGAAAAUGAAAAUGAAAAUGUCGGGGUCGAAGCGAAGGGUUAAUAAUAAGAGGUUGGAGUCGACGAACCAGAUCGAAUCUCGGCCGUCGGUGAGGAAGGUUCGGGUCGUGAUGGACGACCCAGAUGCGACGGAGUCGAGCGAGGACGAGGGAGGAGUCGGCGGUGGGAGGCGCGUCGUUGCCGAGUUCUUCGUCUACCCGAUAAACCCUAACCCUAACCCUAAAACCCUAAUGAAGAGAUCGAGGGCGAAGAGGAGCUUACCGAAGAACCCGAAGUCGUCGUCGUCGUCGUCGUCGUCGUCGCCGUCGCCGCCGAGGUCGUCGUCGCCGCCCUCCGCUCGGUUCAAGGGUGUGCGGCGGCGGAAGUGGGGGAAGUGGGCGGCGGAGAUCCGAAACCCUAAGACGCGGACGCGCCUCUGGCUCGGCACCUUCGACACCGCCGAGGCCGCCGCCGCCGCCUACCAGGCCGCGUCCCGCCGCUUCGCGGAGGAGCUCGCCGGCUCCUCCCCCUCCGCCGCGGCGGAGGCGUUCUCGGCGCCGUCGCCCUCCUCCGUGCUCGACCUCUCCUCCGCCUCCGCCUCCUCCUCGGCGGCGGAGGGGGAGGCGGCGCCGGCGCCGGUGAAGACGGUGGCGGAGCUGAUGGAGGAGCUGGGGCUCCCGUUCCCGUACAUCGGCCUAGGGUUUGAUGGGCUCGAGAAGGGCGACGACGAGCUGGGCGAACUCGGCGACGACGCCCUGUUCGGUGCCGACUUCGACAUCGGCGAAUUCCCCGACGUCGCCGACUUCUUCAAUCUCGACGCGUUCGCGGAGCGCGAGCUCCAAACCUGAUUCGCCCCCCACAAUUUUCCGAAUAAUCUCCAAUUCACCCCCCCUGGUUUUACGCCCUUUCACUCUGCCACUUUUUUCUUUAAAAAAAUUCACACUUUACUCCCUCAUAAUUUUAUCUUUAUUUACAAAUUAAGAUAUACGGUUAGUAAUUUUAAAAUCUAAAAUAUAUAAUUUUUUGAACCGGAGGGCGGCAAAGUGGGAUGUGUUAUUAUGAGAAAGUGGAGGGGCUAGGAUGCAAAAUGUGCAACUGUGAGUAGGUAGGGUUUUUCCCAGCUGUAAUUGAGCUGGCCCUAUUGAGAUUUUUUUUUUUUUUUUUUGGGUCCUCUCACUCCACUCCUGAGUAAUUAGGGCUACGAUUUUGUCCCUCAAUUUUUUAUGCUUUAUAAAUAAAUAUAAAUAUAUUUAUGAACACUUGAAUGGAAGUGAGGCUUUGUCUCUACUAUGUUGCUGUUAUUAUGCAGUUUUAUGCAAUGCUUCUUUGUGUUGUUUCCCUUAAAUGUGGCCUUGUGAGUUAUGUCACUUUAUGUGUAGUAGCCCUUUUAGUAUGGAGGUUCAUUUAAGAUGGAAAUAUAUAUAGAGAAUUAUAGAUUCUGCGUCUUUUGAUGGGAUUACAGAAAAUAUAUUACAUGAUAACUGAUUUAUUGCGUGAAGUUUUGGACCGUUUGCCAAUGCUUACAUCAUUAUUCUUCUUCUUCUUCUUCUUCUUCUUCUUCUUCGGUGGCAGUUAUUACUGUAAUUUUGUGGCAUAACAAAAGACAGGGCUAAAAGCGUUUUAAUAUAUUUUAAUCUUCUAAAUAUAAAAUAAGUGUUUUUAAUUAUCACAUUUCCAGAUAGAGUCCGGCUACUAAACUUUUAUAAGUAUAAGUUCCUUUGUAUUUUUAAGUUUUCAGCCGUUAAAUCUACUCUUUUGAUUAUUUCCAUCUGUUAAAUUAUGUUAUUCAACCAACCAUCUACUCAGCCUUAUGAGACACUUUCAUCCUAAUUGGGGGUCACUAUCAUCCUAACCGUACAUAUCUUUAUCCAAUGGUUGAAAAUUUACGAGUUCAAGAGGAUUUACUCGUAAGAGUAUAGUAACCAUAGCCUAUUUUAUGUGCCACUUCGCAUGGAGUUUUGGCAAUGUAUUUAAGCCAAGCAAAGAUCAUAUUCACAAACAAUCAAAUAUAUUUUAUCAAACACUAAUUGAAUGUACGUACAGACGCACAUUAAAUUUAUAUUAAAGAGUUAUCUCAAAUCAACAAAAAUUUGUUCAUCAUAUUUAUCAAAAAAAUUACAAUAAAAUAUCACUGGAUUCAAUGACGUUAGCGUGAUGUCAUAAAUAUUUACUGAGUAUAGUAUUCUAUAUUUUUGAAUAUUGUUAUUAUUAUAUAAUAAUUAAAAAUAUAUUCAAAGUGUAAAUUAUUAGAAACUAAUGCGUAUUUUUAAUUAAUUAUUGAUUAUUGAAAUAUAUAAUAAAAAGAAAUAUGGUCUACUGGUCUGAACGGGUCAAAGCUGGUUUUAAGAUCAAGAAUUAAAGUAUUCAUCGGCACGAGCCGUAUCUACCGUACCGUAUCGUGCUAACAAAAUAUCGGCACGAUACAGCUCCCGUACUGAUGGCACAAUUCAAAAUCAUUUAUUUUUAAAAUUAAUAAAUAAUUUUUUCAAUAAAGUUAAAAAAAUUAAUAAAAAUAUAUAAUAAAUAAUUGGUAUAUUUUGUUGCUAAAGAAAAUAAAUAUUUUAUUUUGUUACGUGUUGGCACACAUAUUUUUUGUGACUGAUAAGUAUCGACACAGUCCGGCACGCAUCAUAUCAUAUCGUGCCGGUAAAUUUUCGGUAUGACUCGGUGUCAUGCUACUUAAAUUCUUAUUUAAGAUAGUUCAAUUUAAUGGGCUGAACCGAACCAAUUUAACUACCGACCACAAUCCAACUGGCCAGGUUGAUUUGAGUUUUAAAGCAUUUAUCCAUAUUUGAAUAUUAAAAUAAGUUAUUCAAAUAUAAUUUAUUUAAUAUAAUAAUUUUCUAAUACAAUUAAAAAUAAAGAAUUUGAUUUUUCACUUCUUCAAAAAUUUUAUUAUCCAUAAUUUAGGAUGAUACAUUUUAAUUAUAAAAUAAUUUAUUUUAUUAUAAAAAAUAAUUUAAAGUCCUAAUAUGAUAUUUUAUUCUAAAUCUUAUAUCACACCCUACAUCAAUCAAAUAUCUAAUUUUUUAAAUAAAUUAAAAAAUAUACCGAACAAAUAUUCAGAACGAUCUUAAGAAAAUAAAAAAGAAAAAGUUACUAGUCAAAGCUAUUGUUGAUAUUUAAGUACCAACUCCGAUUCAAAAAUUAUGUGAGAUUUUUAAUUUAAUUUAUUACCACAUUUUUUUCUCCCCGUUGCUUUGGAGCUAGAGACGUUAAUGGGUCGAAUUCGGGACGAAUUUUUAGAAAUCCGAACCCGAACCCGACUCCAAACUCGAGACCCGAAUCCGAAUCCGAACCCAAACCUUACGGAUUUUAAAAAUUCAUAUCCAAACCCGAACCCGAGCAAUAAUCCGAAACCCGAACUCGAACCCGAACCCGAACCCGAACCCGAACCUUACGGAUUUUAAAAAUUCAUAUCCAAACCCGAACCCGACCAAUAAUCCGAAACCCGAACCCGAUCCCGAACCCAAAAAUUUGAACCCGAAAUAAUUAUUUUUUUUUAAUAUUUUAAAAUAUAUUAUAUUAAAUCUAAAUUUUUAAAAUACAAAUUUAAAUAUAACAUCAAAUUUAUAUAUAUAUAUAUAUAUAUAUUAUAUAAUACAAAAUAAAUUCGGGUUCGGAUUCGGAUCGGGUACAGUCAAAAUUCAUAUUCGAAUUCGUAUCCGUCGGAUUUCUAUUUUUGAUAUUCAUAUACGAAUCCAUAUCUAUUUAGUAUCAGAUAUAUCCGUUUCAUUCAGAUUCGGAUUCGAAUAAAAUUUCGGAUAUCCAUAUAGAUUGACAUCCCUAUUUGGAGCGUAUCAACAUAUAGAUUCUUGUGUUGUGAGUAGUGUAGUACACUGUACAACGUAGGGACAAAAUUUGUCAACACUAGGUUUGGAUAUGAUCUGGUCAAAGUGAAGUGAGAGGGGAUGAAAAUAUGGAAAUAAAUACAUAAAAAAAUAAGGGAAAACUUCAAAAACCCCCUUAUGGUUUUACUUUUUCUCACUUUAGUAUCCUUUGGUUUAAAGUGUAUCAAGUUAGUAUCCUGUAAUUUUGCACUUUUUCACUUUAGUAUCCUGUGUUUUAAAGUGUAUCAAGUUAGUAGCCUAUGGUUUCGCACUUUAUCACUUUAGUACUCUAUGGUUUCGCACUUUAUCACUUUAGUAGCAUCUGGUUUAAAAAUCACAUAGUACUAACUUGAUACAAAAAUUAUAUCAAGUUAGUACUCUGUGGUUUUGCACUUUUUCACUUUAGUAUCCUGUGUUUUAAAGUGUAUCAAGUUAGUACCCUGUGGUUUCGCACUUUAUCACUUUAGUACUCUGUAAUUUCGCACUUUAUCACUUUAGUAGCCUGUGGUUUAAAAAUCACAGAGUACUAACUUGAUACAAAAAUAAAACCAUAGAAUACUAACUUGAUACAAAAAUAAAAUCACAGAGUACUAACUUAAUACACUUUAAACCACAGGGUACUGAAGUAAUAAAGUGAGAAACUAUAGGAUACUAAUUUGAUACAUUUUAAACUAUCUGGUACUAAAAUAAAAAAGUGCGAAAUCACGGGGAGGUUUUUAGAUCUAAUUUUUUAGAUCCAUUAUAAUUUAAUAAUAUUAGUUGCUCCACAUUUGAUCCAUUAUAAUAAUAUGUGUUACACAUUUAUUGUGUUCACGUGGAAACAGAGGACGUGUGCACUGCAGGUUGCUGCUACAUUGAAGGGAGCUUGUCUAUAAUAAAUAAAUAAAAAAAUAUAAAACAUAUAAAAAAAAGCGUUUGUACGGACUUGUAAAAAAUAAAGGAAAAUUUCAAUACCAUCCCUAUGAUUUUAUUUUAGUAACUUAUAAUUUAAAGUGUAACAAUUUAUUAGUACUUUAUAAUUUCAUAUUUUUUCAUUUUAGUAUCCUAUGAUUUAAAGUGUAUCAAUUUAGCAUUCUGUGGUUUCAUCUUUCUCUUUUUGCCAGCUCCUUUGUUAAUAUUUCGUUAAAUUAUAUACAAAAAACUUCAGAUACCCUAUCUAGAUUUAUCGAAUAUUUAUUUUAAUACCCUUUAGUUUUAACUUUAUCACUAGUUUUUUUUUCCUCUGUUAAUAUUUCGUUAAAUUAUAUACAAAAAAAACUUCAGAUAUCUCAUCUAGUUUUAUUGAAUAUUCACUUUAGUACUCUUUAGUUUUAACUUCGUCACUGAUUUAACGAAAAAAAUUAGUGAAAUUGAUAAUGAAAAGGGAAAAAUGAAACCACAUAGUACUAACUUGAUACAUUUUAAACCACAGAGUACUAAAGAAAGAAAGUACGAAACCAUAGGGGCUAACUUGAUACACUUUAAAUCAUAGGAUACUAAACUGAGAAAGUGUGAAACCAAGGGGGGGUAUUUGAAGUUUACCCCAAAAAUAAUAAUAUUACACGUAAAGGUAAACAUGGCCCAAUAUGAUCAUAUUUUUGAUAAAAUAUAUUUAUAUUCAUAUUUUGAAUUUGAAUGCGGAUGUCACGCCCCGGAUUACUCGUUUCCCCGGGCUCGCUAACAGACCCGCCGUUUAUAUAGGUAUUUCCUUUGUAUACGAAGCGAAAGUAAAAGUACCUGUAAUCAAACAAUACUACAACCAGUAGUAUAGAGCUGCUAGAAGAACCAGUAAAUAAACAUAAAUCGAGUUCCAUACACAUACAUCAAAUCCAAGAUACAAAACUACUCGCAUUGGCGAGUUAAAAGUCUUUAUGUACAUGAACUCUAACAAAAAACAACAACCUGCUGAAGGCACCUGUAGCUCGGCUCGUCUGAUAGGGCUCUAACUCGCGACGCCCUUGCCUCGAUCCUGAUCAGCAAUAGCAGCAGCCGAAGNACUUGCUGUAGGGGCACCUAUAGCUCAACUCGUCUAGUAGGGCUCUAACUCGCGACGCCCUUACCUCGAUCCUGAUCAGCAAUAGCAGCAGCCGAAGAUGAUGGCUCUACAAAAAAAUGGGGUAACAAUAGGGCGUGAGAACUACUGUAAAAACAAGUAGUCCUCAGUGGGUACCACCCUCAACUCAUCGGUGCACCCACUAAGUUUACAGGAUAAGCAAUAAAUAGUAAGAAAAGCUGGAACAAAUCUACAGCUAUAUGUCACUAUACUAUCAUGCUCUAAAUCUAACCAACUAUAGAACAGUGUCAACUCAGACCCAAUCUUGUAUAGGGACUGUAAUCAUACCCGUCCCUAGGACUGUGAACACACCCGUCCUGCCAGAUUGCAACUAACCAGAUACCUCCACGCUAACCAGCCCAUGGAGAGCAAGUCCAACCUGUACAAACGACACCAACGCAAAAGCACUAAGCCCAACUCCGGAGUGGCACUCGUGGGCGCUACCCAACCGAAUAUACAAGCGUAUCUCUGUCGAGCUCAAUCAGGCUCUAACAAGUCAAAGGCAAGUAGCUAGGGUCAAAACAGGUCUAGAAACCGAACCCACGUGCCCUCGGCACAAUAUGAUAUCAAAAACAGAAAUCUGGGUCCACCGUCCACCCCGACGGCACCCGACAACCCGAAAUAGCCUAGACUCUACUAUAAAAAUAAGCUCGGCGUCCCAGCAUGAGCGUAAAUGUAUUUGAAACUACCCCGAGUAUCCACCGCGCUGAAACAGCAGUGAUACAACCAGACCACGGCUCCUAGAGCUAAAUCAGGUAGUAGAAACAUAUGAUGAGUCAAACGCUGGUUUUCUCCUAAGUCAAAUUUCAAGUCCAACAUGUAUGUUGUAAGUAUUCAUUUCAGCAUGCUUCUAUAUUCAUAUUGCAGUCAAAAAUAAUACACGUCGACUAAACAUGCACUUAGGAGCUAAACCGAUGAUACACCUACCUCAAGAGCUAAUCCCUGGCAGCAAAGAACUCCCUCUCAGCUGCGGAAAACCUGCUGGAUCAACCGAAACACCCUCAAGUCAGCAACAAAGCUACAUCAAGGUUCAAGCACCAAAAAUACCAAAAUCCCUCAUUUCACCCAAAAUUUCAGCACUUAAACCUAAAUAUCUCAACUCCAAUGUCAAAACUCACCUAAUAAUCUCCAACUCAGAUGAGACAAGUUCCAAAUCCAGUACUGGUUGAUAGGGAAUGUGUCUCAACUCCACAAAACCCCUGUUUCAAAAGUUCACCCCAAGAAAAGCUCAAAAACUUGCAAUUCUGUCCAAAGCAACAACAGUAGAGGAAAACAUGGGUUCGACUGAGCUAACUUCAAUCAAAAUCUGCAAUUUAGGGCUUCGUGGAUUCCUCUGGAAGUCUAGAAUCCAGCAAACCAAGUUUCACCGCGAUCCGACCUUCCUACGUCGCGUACAAACCAAAACAUUGGAGGUCGUCGCUGAAGAACUACAGAAUCAGCACUCCACUACCUUCCGUUUGAAAGAUUGGAUGCAAUUUGAGGAAAUCUGAGGGUUAGAAAUGCAAUAUGAGGCUUCUCUGUGAAGAACAGGUGAAAAGAGCUUACUAGGGUCGCACACCAUCUAUUUAUAGGAUGUUAGAACGGUCCCAUAAGCCUCAGGAACAUCAGCUGUAAACCUGCAACUCAGCAGAAACGGGCACUUCCGGGCGCCCGGACCCACGUUAUGGGCGCCCAAAUCCUCCAGGCUACACAAGGCUUCCUCCUCGGACUCUCCGCUCGCGGUGUGCUGCGCCCGUAAACGGCUCCGGCGGACCUCACCUACCACCCGCCACGUGUCAACACAAACGAUAUUCAUGAUGUAGAAUUUCCGGACCCACUUCUCGGCACCCGGAACAUAGGAUCCGAAUUGGCUUCCAGUUCCAGUUAAAUUCAGCACUCAGUUCUGGGCGACCUAAACCGUGUUCUGGGUGCCUGAAUCUGGCAAAACUCCAGUUUUGCUUAUUUGAGUGCGCCGAGUCCAUUUCUGCAUCCAUUUCGUGCAGAAACGACUCCGAUUCAGUCCGACACUCUCCAGAAGUGUCGACCAGUCAUUAAUACUGAAGCCAAUCCUAUCCAAAGCUCAGAAACACUAUAGCAGAUACAUAUUAUAUGCUAAAUUUCGUCCGUUAAUAACGGAUUUGGAUUUAGAUUUGCAUUUCGAUAUUAUUCAGAUAAUAAUAUAUACUAAUAUAUGCAUGUAUAAUUAUAAACUAAAAUUAGAAGGAAUUAAAUGUUUGUACUCGUGUUUGAACUUUGUAAGUAUUUUUAUUCAAUAAAAUUUUAAUAUUUUAACAAAUAUAAAUAUAAUUUUAAUAUGAAAUUUAUAGUAAAAUAAAUGAAGAACAUGACAGAAAAAUAAUUUAUCUCCUUACAAUAUAUAUUAACAUCCUUUUUAUUUGUAAGGGGUGAAUAAUUGUCGAAUACUGUCGGAUUGUUUAAAAAAACUAUAUUCGUAUUCAUACAUUUUUAUUUUUUUUCAAAUGUAAAUUCUGAUACGAAUAUAUAUUGAAUGCUAAAUAUUGAUAUCCAUAUUUGCAUUCUAUCGAAUGUAGUGUUGGAUUCAACCAGAGUUUAUCCUAGCCACAUGUACCCCUAGUAACAGGAUAGUAAUAUGAAUACAUAUUUCUAUGUUUAUUUUCCACUAAAUCAAUCUUUUAGUUAAUACGGUACCACACUAUUAGAGCUAACAUUGAAUCUAUUCGUUCUAUAAGGUCGUGGAUUCGAUCUAUGUGGCUUUAGUCCCCACCUUCAACAUCUAAUAGAUAACAUAGUAACACUAUAUUUAAUAGAUUGAAUCUCCAUCUGUCACUUUAUUUAUUAAUUUUAUAUGCCUUUCAUAUUCAUCAUUUCAAAUUAUAGGUUCGAUCCCUAACUUCAAUAUUUAAUAGUUAUUUUUUUAUUAUAUUUAAUGAGUUAAUAUAUAUUUAUUGGCCUAUUUCUUUCUUUUAUGUGUAUUAUGCACAUAAGCAGAGGUGUUAACAUAUAUUUUUGGAUCAAUUUUCUACUAAAUCGAUCUUUUAGAUAACUAGCAAUGCCGGUUUCGUAAAGGCAACAAGAAUCCUUCAUAAAACUAAGCAUACCUUACCCAGCCAAUGCAAUUUAGGAGCUAUUUAUCGGAUCGUUGGUACUAAUCAUUAAUCCCAAAAGCUCGAGCGGUUAGAAAUACGCAACCAAUUCACUUAAAGCACCAAUUCACUUAAAGCGUGUACAGAUACAACGCCCACGGGUCUCGAUUGUGACUCGAUCCAACCAACUUCACACUACUUCGAACAUGACUCGGUCCAAUCCAGCCUCACGCCAUUUCGAACAUGACUCGUCUCAUAUGGCCUUCUGCCACAAGGCAGGAUGCUGGCUCAUUUAAGCCAACACUAUUUUGUUGCGCACUAUUGCAAUUAUGCUACAAUUGUAACUGCGUAUACAUAUAAUCUGUUAUUUAUUUUGAUGUAUUUACAUUCAACUGUUGAAUUAGAACUACAUGAGGAGGCUCAACUAUAUAGUUGGGCUUAUGACCAAAUUGGUCGUAGCUCCAACUGCAGCAAUUGGAGAGAGUAGUUUUAAACAAAAAAAGAAAAAAAAAAAAAGCUUACCGCACUAUAAUUUGUUAAACUAAUUUUUUUUUUUUCCUACAUAGGAGAUAAUCCCACCACCCAUAUAUAAAGUGAUAAUUUUUUUAUGAAUACAUUUCUCAACUUUAUAUAAUCAAAUCAAUUAUUUAUAAUUACAGAAUUUUUCAUUACAUUUAUUGAAAUAAGAUACAAUGUAACUACUAUAUUUCUAAUUAUAUAUAUUCUUAACUAUAUCACACUAUAAAUCGAUCGUUCUUAGCACAAGUGGCAAAGGACUUGGUUGUUUGUUGGUAUCCGAGGUCCCAAGUUCCAAUCCUUAAAGUGAUAUACAUUGUAUGAUGUAUAAAAGUGGAAUCAAGCCGGGUACGAAUCGGGCUACCGGAAAUAUUAGCCCGGCCCAAAACAAUUUAUUGGGAUUGUGGAUGGGCUUUAAGUUUAAUAUCAUUAUUGGAAGGAAACAAAUAGCAACACCAAUUGGGCCUUGCCCUAAUCUACAAAUUGCAAUACCCAUUGGGCCUUGCUUAGAAACAUGUUUAUUAUCAAAUACAAUCUAAAUAUUAUGGUCCACUAGUUAAAAACCCGCGCUUCGCUGCGGAUAGCUUUUUUUUUUUUUUUUAACAAUUUACUAUAUUAAUUCUAAUAAUUUUUUUAAUAAUUAUUGCUAAUAAUUUAUAUUUAUAAUAGUUGCUUUUUAUUAAAAAAAAAGAGAGAACAUAAAAGUGUAAAGAGUAAUUUUACCAAAUGCUCAGCAUCGUCCUGACUAUAUGAAAGUCAAUAUUCUUACAAUAAUAAGAAGCAUGAAAGAAAAGGGCAAAUAAUAGGGAAGAGUGAAGAAGGAAGAAAAGAACCAAAAAUAGAAAAAAAAGAAAAAGAAAAAGGAAUUGAAGAAGGCAUGAGAAUAUAAAGAAUUGAAACAAAACGAAUUAAUAUAAACAGAUGUCAAUACUGAAUAGAGAAUUCAAUCAAUAAGAAGAAACUGCGGUUAACUAUGAAACUAAAUGAGAUUCCUAUUUUCUUUUUUUAUCAUCAUUGCCUCCAAUAUAUAAUGUAGAAAUUUAUAGAAAUAAGCCCAUCCUAUAUUUGUAAUUUGUACAAAUUAAAUCUCUAUAGAAAUAAGCCCAUCCUAUAUCAUCAUUGCCUCCUGAUAGAGUGUCCACAGGACCACCGCCCUCUGCAUCCAAAUCAUCUAGGUCUCUGAAAAAAAUUUCGAAAAUCACCUUAAAAAAAACUACACAUCAACAUCUACAUCUAUGUAACUAAGCCUCAAUCGCGAUACAAUCCUAUCAAUUUCAUCCUAAAAUUUGCUUCUUUCGCUCAACAAAUCCUUCAACAAUGCACACAAAUUAGACAAAAACAGAUAAAACAAUUUUUUUUAAAAAAAUGAAAAGAAACAGAGAUCGUACUCUCCACGGGGACGACGUCCUUGGGGCCAUCAUGCGCCUUCUCCUCCUUCGCCUCCUCCACCUCUGACUCCUUCGAUGGCUCCUCUCCCAUUUCCGAUCCCUUAAUCUCCUACUCCUCCCCCCAAAUCCAUCGACGAAGCACUAAUUUCGAUGGAGAGCUCCAAAAUUUUCCACUAUUUAUGAGUGGCAGUCGCGGGAUCUUGCGGAUUGUAAGGAGCAGGAUCUCCAGCGAUAUUUGUCGCCGAUUUUGCGGAAUUUGAAGGCACGAACAUCAGCAUUGCCCGAUUUUGUGGGAUUUGAUGGCACGGAGAGGGCAGAGGUCCGAAACCACGGAGAGAGAGAGAGAGAGAGAGAGAGAGAGAGGGGAUCUACAGAGGAUUGGCCCGUACGGUGCUUAUGCGAGGCGGAGGUGGAGGCGGUGCGUAGGCGGCGGAGACGGCGCGUAGGCGGCGGAGGCGUACGGGAGAGAAGGAGAGGGAGAGAGAGAGGAGAGGAGAAGAGGAGAGAGAGAGAGGAGGGGAAUGGUAGAGGUCUACAGGAUAAAAAAAAAAUAGUGCUCGGCAGGACCCACGAUCCGAAAAUGCGGAGAGGGGUUGACGCUUCGCCCUUUAAUGUAAUUAUAUUGAUAUUGAUAUUGAUUGAUGUUAGGUACAUCGUACGCGUAUUCUUAUAUGAUUUCGACCCAACUCACCGUCAAAGUCAAGUGUAUCUAAUUUUGUUGUAAAUGGGCACUAAGAUUGCUCAAAUUUUGAGAAUCUUCUGCAUACGUGACUCUUUGCCAGUUUAUUUCACCAAAAGUGAGGUUUAGAUUUAAAUAUACUUUUGAGUGAACUAGAGUUCAAGUAAAACUUUUGUAUAGCUGUAAAACUAAAGUUUUUCAAAUAUUCGCUCUUUGUUUUGACAAAAAAUGAAUGACAUGAAAGCGAGAGAUGUGGAAGAUAGAUUACUUUUUGUUUAUUAUUUUAUUAGUUAUAUUUUUUUUUUCAAAAUUGGCUUACUUUGGUCCAAUUCGCGCUAAAUUUAAUGACAAUAUUUUGAGAAGUAUGAGUUUUGAUGAACGUUUAUGGCCGAAAAUCACUUUUAUCCUAUUUUGCUUUAUGAACAAAACAGGUAAAAAUUGUGUGGAUCGUAAGCACUAAUCAACUAUCCUAAAAACACGUGUUGAUAGGAAGGACGCAUCUAUCGCAUUUAUUAAGAGCUCAGCAACAGUGUUCUCAGGCAUCGACCGAACUCAACUUACCUGGACGUUAGGAGCGCAAUUUCACUCAACUUAUUAGGCUCAUCUAAUUUCAAUAUAUUAUUUAAGCUAAAUUACAGAAAACCUUUCUGUAAAUAUUUUUUCUUUUACUUUAUCUUCCUGACUUUCAAAAUCUACAUUUUGUCUUUUUAAAAUUUCAGAAAUAGUUUUAGGAAGGUGCGAUGUUAAUGGAAAGGACAAAUUGACUAAAUUGUCUUUACUUCUUCCAUAAGAAAAAAAAAAAAAUUCUUUAAUAUAUUGCUGUCAUUUUGAAAAGUAUUUUCGGUAUAAAUUAUAAAAAAUGAACGGAAUAAUGAUAAAACCCUAACCAAGGAGGGCUAAAUGCAACAACUUAAAAUAUUGAGAAGAUAAAAUAUAAAUUUUAAAACUUAGAAAGACAUGGUGAAAAAUUGAGUAUCUAUAAAUGAGUUUUCUCUAACUUUUACUAUAAUUAUAAAAAAAAGUCCUCUAAAAAAAUUAUUUACAAAACUAGAUCUAUACGGUAAAUAAAUUACCGUUUUUUAAGUACGGUAAAUCAUUCAUCGCUUUCUUCAAAAGAUUAAAAUUAUUUUUAGUGUUUAAUACUAUAUAUUUUUUGAAGUUUGGAGGUAGAAAAUAUAUAAAUUAGGAUAAAAGGGGCGUGAAUUAAUUCAUCGCUUUUAUCAACUUAUUUUUAUAAAUAAAAAUUUUGGAUACCUAUUUUUAUAUAUAAAAUUUUUUUUAGGCUUAGUAGUCCAAAAACUCGCCCAAGAACGCCAGACUUAUUGUUACUUUUUCUUCUCACUCUCUUUCUCUCUUCUGCCCGUCUAAAAGCAGUGAAUUGAUUCACCACUUUUAUGAAUCUAUUUUUAUAAAUAAAAAUUUAAAAUACCUAUUUUUUUAUUUGUACUAAGUUUGAUAUUGAGUUCCAUCUGACGCUAGUAGAUAAAGUAGAGUUCCGGUAAAAGCAUAUAGUAAUAUAUUUCUUCGUUCCCCGGUGGAACUGCAAAAAAUAUAUUGUAACCGACUCAUCGCGAUAUGCGGAAUGCAAUAUUACGUACAAAAAUAAAUAGAAUAUUUUUCCAACAUACUUUCUCAUCGUACAUAAUGCAAUCCCUCCGUAAUCCAAAACAAAACCUCCUUACAAAGUUUUUAGGGAAAACUUUAAAUACCACUCCAGUGGUCUCACACUUUCUCACUUUAAUACCUUGUGGUUUAAAAUAUAUCAAUUUAGUGUCUUAUGGUUUUAUUUUUAUUUUUUUAUUAUCGGUUCUACUCAUUUUUUCAUUAAAUUAGUGAUAAUGUUGAGACUAAAGGGUACUAAAGUGAAUAUUCGAUAAACCUAGGUGGGUAUUCUGAAGUUUUUUUUGUAUACAUUUAACGAAAUAUUAACGAAAAAACUGAUGAAAAGAUAAAAAUGAAACCAUAGGAUACUGACUUGAUACACUUUAAAUCACAUGGUACUAAAGUUAAAAAGUGCGAAACCACAGAAAUAGUAUUUGAAGUUUACCUAAGUUUUUAAGACUCAGGCUUAGUUUGGUACUGAGGUCAAUUUAACGCUAUUAGAUAGAAUGAAAUUGAGAAAAAAUAUAUAGGAAUAUGUUUCUGCGUUCUCCGAUGGAAUCGCAAAAAAUAUAUUGUAACCGACUCGAAACGCAAUAUUACGUACGAAAAUAAAUAGUUAUUUUCUCAUCGUCGAUUACAUACAGAAAUAAAUAGAGUACUUUUCCAUCGUCCUUUCUCACCGCGGGUAACGCAAUCUUUCCGUAAUUUCACACAAAGAAUCAGUAGUCCAAAAGCUCCCCCAGGAACAGUAACGCCAGACUUUAGUGUUACUUUUUCCUCUUCCGCUCUCUCUCUCUUCUGCCCGUCUUCUCCCUCACACCCUCCCUUUCGCCGUCAGGAGUGGGCGGGCAGUCAGCACAAAAUAGGAAAAAAAUGUUCUCGUUGUGGCAGCGGGUGAACGCCCUGGCGACCUUCUCCAUCCUCCUGCUGGCGGCUCUCUCCUGCGCCGCCUCCUUCCUCGACGCCUUCAACUCCCCCUCCGUCCGCGCCCACGCCGAAGUAAACCCCCUUCAAUCUUGACACCCAAAAAUCCCCCUCUAGAGAAUAUGUUCCUGCGUUCUCUGAUGAGAUCGUAGAAAUUUCAUCACGUAUUAUCGAAGAUCAUCGAUCUCAUUGAACACAGUAGUACAUAAUGCAUAGCGGAGAUCAGACGAAUCGUGUCAUUUGUGAGUCGUAUCCAUAAAAGAUUGAUGUGAUAGGAGUUGGUACCCCUGAAUAUUUAUUAUUAUUUUAUUUAUAGAAAUUAACAAGCUGGAAAGAAUCUGAUUAGCCCUAGUUUUUUUUUUUUUUUUUUUUUUUUUUUUUUUUUUUUUUUUUUUUUUUUUUUUUUUUUUUUUUUGAAUUCGACAUCAAUUUUUCAGUUUUCUAGUUUGUUUUCCUGCUUAAUUCCCUCUUUCAAGUAGGUGCUGAAAAAAAAAAUUUUCAUGAAAAUUUUUUCUCUUCUGGUUUUCGGUUUGGUUGAAAAUUUCAUGAAAAUUUCAUGAAAUUUUUUUUUAUUUCCUUAGUUUUUAGGAAAACUAAAAUACUAGUUUUUCGUGAAAUCUGAAAAAAAAAAAAAAAAAAAGACUUUUCAAAAUGUUAGAUUUUCUUGCAAACAAACGGAUGAAAAACUGGAUUCUUGAAAAACUUUUUUACAAACUUUUUUGAGGAACCAAACAGCCCCAUACUGAGACAUUCUCUUAAUCAUGCAAUGAAUGAUAGCAUCGUCUUUUGCCCGGAUCCUUGAUGGUCUAAGUACCAUCGGCGUCGGUGUCAGCGUCGGCUGUAUUUUUUGACAAAGAGCGGUUCUUACUGAACUGCCUCUGCGAAAGAUGCGAGUAGAAAUUAAGAACUAUUAUCUUACUUGUGAUGCUUACUUUAGGUCGCCUUUUACUUUUAUUUAUUACUACUUUGAUUAUUAUUAUUAUUUUGUGAAUCAAGAAACCUGUCCCGCUAGAAUGAUAUUGAUAGUAAAAAUUGUAGUGCCUUUAUGUGAUUACCAAGCAAAGAGAUCGCAAAUAUUAGCAUUUUUUGUAUUUCUUUCCUUUCAAGGACAAAACUUUGGAAGAAUAUAAGGUCAAACUCAUAUGUAUGUUUUUAUUUUUAUUUUAAUUUUGCAUUUUUCAUACAUGCGACGUUUAAACUCAUCCAAAAGGUAAGUCUAUUUGCGGAGCAAAAAAAUUGGGGACCUUGUAGUUAAACUCACAAUUUUGGUGUUUUUGGGUUUAUUCUCUUCAUGUUGCAACAUUAGUUUAACUAUGAUGAAGUAGCAAUUUGCGCUGUUUUUCAAUAACAUCUUAUAAUCUCUCCUUCAGGUCAUAAAGGUAAAUCGGUUUAGGAAGCAGCUCACUGGGAAUGAUGAGGUAUUGCAAUUUAUAUUUUAUUGUUUGCUUCUCCUUUUACUAUAAGAAGAGACAUAAUUUUAUUUGGAUAUAUAUAUNGGAAACACAGCAAAACACCUUCUCCCCACGUGCCAAAGACUUUCCUUGAGUCCUCCAAUCCGCGAGCAACGAGCGCGGUGCGAAAACGGCGCGAAUCGACGGUUUUUCUCUAGAGAGAGAAAAACCCUAGAGAGAGAGAGAGAGAAAUGGUGGAGAACCCUCCUCUGGUCUCAAAACCCUUCCACAGAGCUCCUAGAGUCGUGCUGGACUGAAAUAGAUAGGAUCAAAGUGUGAAAUUACCAAAAUAGCCCUGCUGCCACGUUUCUGCAUUGUGUACUGGUACACCAUAAUGGCUGUACCGGUACACCAAGCAGAAAAGGCUGAUUUUCGCCUGUUCAAUGCACUUUCUCACUUUUAGCCAUCCAAUCACUCUCAAACUUGUCCAAAAACUUGUCUAAGUCCUUUAGAACAUGUAGGAUAGUUCCACAACUCAUUCCACACACUCGGACUCCGCAAUUUGCUAGAGUCAGUGUAUUACACUCUCUCUCUCUCUCUCUCUCUCUCUCUAUAUAUAUAUAUAUAUAUUAUUGUGUUUAUGUUCAUCUUAUUCUUUGCCAUCCGCUUUUGUGUGACAAUUUAACCGUCUUUCAUGAAUAGUAUUGGUUUGUGCAACAUUGUUGAUUUCUUGUGCUUGGUCAUAUCAUUUUUCACAAAGAACUGGUUGCAACACUCUUCUUAUUAUUUUUUGCUCUACUGAUAUUAUCUACUUGAUUAUGUCCAUCUUGUUAUGCAUCAUGCCGUCGUUGUGAAAUGUAUCUGAAGAGAAUACAUUUCAUUCAUUGUUGGCUUGUUUUCCAGCUAAUGUUGGAAUUGUACUCAUCCCACUAGAAACUAGUAUCUUUUGGUUAGUUUUUUCUCAGAUUUGUCGGUGUGCAAAACAAAGUGAGUUAGAUCCAAAUGGUAAACUCAUAGAAGUAAUAUAUAUGAAACACAAUUACAUGCUCACAGAAAAUGGAUGGAGAUUCAAGGUUGAUCACAAUAGAAGAGUAUUUGUCGCUUAAUUAUCAGCAGCCCUUUUUAGUUUUUAGAAGUUUCAUACUGGAAUUUGUGAAACUGUUGAAUGGAUAAGUUUGGCUGAAAGAACAUGUUCUAUCUUCCAAAUUCAUUAAAUUGGUGUGUUUUUAAUGUUUUUCACUAAAUCUUAUUUAUUGUUAAAAAUGCCCGAGCUAAAACUCAAUCCACAAUAGAAUCUUCAAACCUUGCUUGUCAAUGGACAUUGUAAGUUGUUGUUUGCGUUGAUACAUUUUGAAGUUUGAAGCAUUACUAAGAUUGAGAGUUCACGAAGCAAGCUUCUGAACGCUCGCUUAAAAUUCUAUUCUAAACAUGAUCCAAAAUGUGCAAUAUCCUCCAAAAUUUUGCCAUUUACAAAGAAUUGUCGCAAUUAUAAAAAGAUCAGCUGAUUUCUUUCUUUCUUUUUGUCUCUCCUUCUUCUUCUUUCACAGUAUCAGUUUUUCUUUAGCAUUAUAUUGCCUAGUAUGCAUAAUAUUUUGGGGUUGCAUGACAGGUGAGCUUGACCUUGAACAUAUCUAUGGACUUGCAAUCAUUGUUUACGUGGAACACAAAGCAGGUAAUCUUAAUUUUCUGUAUCUGAUCUCCUUUCUUUUCUUCUUUUCUAUAUGACUGAACCUGUAAUACUUCGACACCGAGAGGAUAUCAAUGCUGUAAACUUCAUUUGUGCUUGGUCUUUUAACUGUGGUGGCUUGAUUCAUGCUUGAGAUGGGGUGUGCAGGAAAAGUUUCUUAUGAAACAUGGUAUCUGAACAUAUCCAACUCGAUCUAUAACUUUAGUUGUAACCUGUGUUGAUUCUCUGAACCAUAUCCAUUGAUCUAUAAGGGAGUCUAUAUAUUCUAAUCCUCUCAGAACAUCAAUUAUUGUAUUACUAUAUGACACGCCGCUUCCUAGGGGGGUCACCCAUCUUAGAAUUACUCUAGCUUUAGCGUGCUUAACCCUUUUAACCUUUUGGACUUAGUCACUGCCAAAAAUACUAUAGUCAGAUCAAAAGAUUUAAUCCUAUUAUACCUUAUAUAUAGGACUAUUCCAAAUCUUAGUGUAACAUUCAGCCCCCCUUUAAGUCUUGGCGUCUUCGCCAUGCUCAAACAUACUCACAAUCACCAUGCGAUGUGAGACUCGUCUUGCUAGCAUUAGCCAACCUUGUAGCAAGUCGUGCUCCACCCACAACGAUUGUCAGUUGGGGAUCCGCGCUUUGCCACUAUAUGACUCUAGUUCAGCCAACAUUCAUCUCACACUUCCGGCUAGUGAUUGGCUUUGAUACCAACUAUUACUACCUACUUCUCAGGAGGGGUCACCCAUCAUAGAACUAUUCUAGUCUUAGCAUGCUUAGCUCUCUUAAAUUCUUAGGCUUGGCCACUGCUCAAAAUGCUAUAGUCGAGUUAAAAUGUUUAGUCCUAUUAUACCUUAUAUAUAGGACUAUUCCAAAUCAUAGAGGUGUCGCAUUCUGGAUUUUAUAAGCAAAAAAGAAUAAGAGAAUACAUUGCUUGCAAAACAUUCUUGUAUAUAUGCAUGUAAAUGUAAAUCGAUGAUAUUUAAAGCGCUGCUUAAGCUCUCUGAUUGAGUAAGCUUAAAGGUAAAUUAAUCUUCGUAUCUUUAGCAUAUCAAGUAAGAUUUUUGUUGGAUAUGUUGAUAUGAUGGGUGGGUAGUAGUUAAUCCCUCCCUUAGUUUAUGUUUAUGUGGGUCUGCAUGUCUUCUUUAGUUAUAAAGAAUUGUAGUUAAGUUGCAUAUUAUUCACAGUAUAAUCUAUUGUAUAUUUUAUUUCGAUUGCAGGUAUUCGUCUUUUUGACUGCUGAGUAUGAAACUUCAAAGAAUUCUGUGAAUCAGGUAUCAUUCCAACUUACUUCUGGAGUCCAUGUCAAAGUGGGUUUUAUUUUUAUUUUUAUUUUAAUCAUGAUCCGGGUCAAAAUCGUGUUGGUCAACCGCUAGGGGUAUUGAAUAUUUUGGACAACAUAUAGUGUCUGGAUCCAGAUGCAAUUUAAAUCAGGUGUUUGGAUCCGAACCUGGUUGGACACUGUUUUAUACCAAAAUUAAAAAAAUAUAUAAAGUAUUUAUUAAGUCAAAAUUUAAAUUCAAAAUUUAUGUAUUGAAAAUAAAAGUACCAGAAUCAGACAUUUCGUAUAUCCUUUUAAAAUAAACUAUUUUAAAUUAUAAAAGUAGCAUAAUAUAACUUAUCUAGUUAUCUUUACUUUUUGAGCUAUCAGUUCGGAACUGACUCAGAUUUUAAUAUAAAAUAAUUAAAUUGUUUGUUUGGAUCCAGUUUUGGGACUGGAAUUCGUUGUUUGGAUCCAGUUAUUUUUCGGGUCAGACUAGGUCGGUCUACGAAUGGUAGUUAAUCAUGUGCUAGUGGUAGUAAGAGAAACUGAAGGAAAAUAAUGAAACUGUCGAAUUGCUGAUGCAGUAGAAGAGUUAACGUUUUGAAACUUACUUUUUGAUAUUUUUCUUAUCAGAUUUCUCUAUGGGAUCAUAUAGUCCCUGAUAAGGACAACGCGAAUUUUCGAGUAAGGGUUCCUACCAAGUAUCCUCUGAUUGAUCAGGCAAGUUCUCGCUCGUAGAAAACUCUGAUUUUUUUAUUAUUUAUUCAUUUCUGAAAAUAUGGUUAUAAUUCAGCUAUUAUUUCUUGCUUCUUUUACACUUCCUUGAUUCACCCUAAAAGAACAGCGGCUUAUAUGAACUGUAGUGCAUUCUGAAAUGUUUACCUGAACUCUGAAUUUUGAUUUUAUUGACUAAUCUUUUACAGUGAACUUGAUCUAAGUAUGAUAUUAUCAAAAUUUGCUGGUAUUUUUAGCUCUUUUGACAGAAUAUUUUACAAUCUAAUUAAACAGUUCAGUUUUUUGACUGAAUACUUUUUAAUUAUGUUACCAUAAAACCAUUAAAUCUACCUAAAUUUGGCAAAACCAUUUUAGGAAAUCUCUGUAAAUGAAAGGACUAUUAAGGUUAGAGCUCAGAUUCCCAUCUCAAAAUGCAUUAUGAUCUAUGUAUCACGGACGCAGCUAUAGGCCUCGCAUGUCUAUGUCGGACAUUCGCGUGUCUACGUUUGAUGCUCAUGGACGCGCGGCUGUGGCACAUCCUUUUAAAAAUUAUAUAUAUAUAUUAUUUUAUUUUAUUAUGCGUAUAUAAUGUUAGAUGAUAAAUAUUUUGGCUUUUUGAUGAAUGCAUACAAUUUUUUAUUGUACAAUAUAAAUUAGGGAUAAUAUCUAAUGUACCCUCCAAAAGUUCAAAAAUAUCUAAUAUAUCCUUGGUUGACCAAAAUAUUCUUAUUGAUUUCCAAAAAUUCCUUCAGAUAUACCCAAACCCCGGAGGUUUAGAAGGAUAUUUUCAUAAUUUCAUGGUAAAUUUGAAAUUUUGACUAGUAGUCAGGAGUAAAUAAGCAAAAGCCCAAUAAUUAUGUAUGGUGGUUGUUUUUAUGAGAAAUAUAACAAUAUUUUUACAAAAUUAAUAUUUGUAUACAAUAAUUAUAUACUAUUAUGUUAAUACUAUUGUAUUUUAUUAGUCGUAUCCAUGCUGUGUCCACAUCCUAAUAUUUUGAAGCUGCCGAGACGUCAUAUCUGAAUCAUGUCGUGCCCUUUGUUCCCUGUUCGUGUCUGUGACGCCUAAGUUACAAUAUAGGUGUAAAUAGUUUUAUUAUAAUAAUUAUUAUUUUUUGCGUGUACAGGGAAACAACCUUCGUGGUAAGAAAAUCGACCUCGUUCUCCACUGGCAUGUUAUGCCGAAGACUGGUCGAAUGAUUCGCGAUAAGAUGGCGCUUUCCGAGUUCUAUCUCCCUGAUGCUUAUACAUGACCUUAACAUAUCCUCUCUUCUUGAUCAGAAUAAGUAGUUCAACAGUGAAUGAUAGAAAUGGCUACUUAGUUUUCUUUUUUUAGUUUUUUUUUUUUUCUUCCUUCCUAUAUGAAUUAUUGGUGAUCCAUGAUAAAACCGUCGAUCUCGCAUCUCAUGUUUCAAUUUACCAUUCCUUUUACACCAUUUUAGCAGGUGAGGGCAUUUGGUUUAAUGCAACAUUUGCUGAAGCUUUUUUUUUUUUUUUUUUUUUUUAAUUCUGGGAACUGUUUAUACCUAUUCUUGUUCUAUGAAAGCUCUUCUGGAUUGAAUUGUGGACCUGCAUAUUUUGUUAGCAAAGAUGAUGUGAUGAUAAUGCUUUCUCUUUGCAAUUAACUGUGAGUUUAAACUGAGCAACAAGGAUUUAAGUGUCGCGGCACAGGGUCUUGUGGACAAUUUUACUAGCACGGUGCGGUAAGGUGUGUGUGCGUGCCAUGCAGACAAAAUUCUUUGUGUACCAACACACUUCUGUAUGAAAUAUUUAUUUUCUUUAGUAUCAGUAUAUUCUAACUGCUUUUAACAUACUCUUUAUUAAAUCUUUCGUGCGCUGCUAAAGGAGAAUAUAUCUUCUAUAUUUACUUGGUUGAUGAAAAUGCCCUUAUUGAUUUUUAAAAUUACCUUCAAGUAUUUCCAAAUUUUUAGGGCUUACUAAUUGGAUUUGGAGUUUAGAAGUGUAUUUUGAUAAUUUUAGUAUAAAUUGAAAAUUUUGAGUAUUAGUUAGCGUUAAAUAAGCAAAAGGCCCAUCACCUAUUUUAUGGUACAAUGUGUACUACUCCCUAUUUUAUGGUACAAUGUGUACUACUCGUAUUGAUUGGACACUUGUAUUGAUGGACACUUAAAUUCUUAAUAAGCAAUCUCGUUUGGUGUAUCAGGUGCUGUAGAUAGAUUGGAGUUUAGUGACUUGUGUAAAAUUUUUUUUUUCCUUCCACGUGCGAAGCUUUUUAAGUCCUUAAUUAUUAUUAAUUAUUAGGCAAACUCUAAUAUUUCUCCAAUAAUGAUUUAUAUAUAUAUAAGAGUAGAGCUAUUAUACCAUCAAAAGUAAAGAGGAUCUGGUAUUUUUUACUUUUUGGCCUUUAGAUCAAUUUUUUUGAUUAUUUCUAAUUUUUGAAUUAAUAUUAUUAUUCUAGGGAGACUACUCAGCUCUAGGGAGACCGUAAUCAUACCAACCAUAUAAUUCUUAAUCUAAGGGUCAAAAAUUCGGAAGUAUCAAAUCCUCUAUUAUUUUGAUAGUAUAAUAGUUCUACACUAUAUAUAAGAAUUGAGCUCCUAUGCUUUUAAAAGUACCAAGUUAUUGGUGCUUGUAGAUUUUUAGCCAUUGGAUUAAGAGAUAUGCGGUUAGAAUGAUGUGGGUCCCAUAGGGUAGAGUAGGUGGUUUGUUGAAUAGAAUAAUCUAAUGGUUGAAAAUAAUCCGAGAAAUAUAUCUAACGGUAAAAACCUUACGAGCACCAAAUGCUUGGUGCUUUUACAAGCACCAUAGCUGGACUCCUAUAUAUAAUAUAUAAUAAUUAGAGAUAACGGUGAGGAUUUAACAGUGAACUAACAUCAACAGAGAUAUAUUUACAUAGUUUGGCGCUUUAAAGGAAUAUAUAUUCAUUAAAAUAUUAUAUGAUAAUAAAUCUAUAAUUCUAAAACUUUAGCUAAUUUAUUUAUUUUAUAUAUAUAUAUAUAUAUUUUCACUAAAAACAAAUCUUUGUGAUUUGUGAUGACACUUUAUUUGAAAAAUAAAAUCUUCUAUAUGGUGAUCUCAAAACUUGGACAAUCAAACACAGUAAAAUAUUCCCCACGUGAUUGUGUGUACCAUUGUAUGCAAAAGCAUGUUGACUCAUACAACAAACACCUUAAAAAAGAGUUAAAUUGUACUUUGGUCCUCAAACCAUGAGGUUCAUGACAUUUUGAUCCUAAAACUAAAACUUGUUAUAAUUUUUGGGUUUGAAUUGCUAAAUUAUUGCAAUCAAAUACCGCAAUCUUAUUUACUUAAUUAAAUAUUAAUAUGUCGCUAAUAUAAUAUAUAUAAUAUUGAUAUGAUGGUGUUGUGAUUGAUGAUACGACAGUGAUUAAGAUUUCAUAUUACUCCUACUUUAUUUAUACAUCAAUAUUUAGUCAAUUAAAUUAAAUUAUAAGACUUACAAGUAACAAUUUAAAAAAUUUGAAUCAGAAAUUAUAAUAAAUUGAAGUUGAGGACCAAAGCGUCAAACUUGUUAUGAUUCACUAAUCCUAUGGUAUAAUUUAGUCAAGUAAAUUAUGAUGCAUCGUUGAUGCAAAAAUGAUAUAACAUUUCAAUUAUUGGCGCAUCAUCAAUGACAAUACGCGUUUACAUUAGCAACACAUCAAUAUUUAGUCAAUUAAAUUAGAUUAUAUGAUUUGAUUGUUAUAAUUUUUAAAAGGGUUAAUUUCAUAUAGAUCUCUACAAACAGAGUGCAUUACAAAUAUAUUCCUACAAAGUUUAACUUUUAUAUAUUGUCUCUACAAAAGUUUUGAUGUUUUCAAAUAUGUCUCAGCUGUUAGAAUUUACUAGAAAAUUUUAGUUAACCAUAGAUUAAAUACUCAACCCUAGUUAGUUUUUGACAUUUUUACCGAUUUAUAUUAUACUAUUAUAGUUUUUAGAAGGAUAUAUUUGUGAUUGCAAAAUUAAAAAUAUAAAUAGUUUUAUAACGGCAAUAAACCAGAUGGACAUAUUUGAAAAUAUUACGACUUUUAUAGGAAGAACAUAUGAAAGUUAAACUUUGUAAGGAUAUAUUUGUUAUUCGCUAUAUUUGUAGGGAUAUGUAUAAAAUUAAUUUUUUUUAAAAAUACGGGCCAAAAAUUAUAAUAGAUUAAAAUUUGAGAAUCAAACUGUCACAGAAAAAUAGUUUGAGGGCAAACGUACAAUUUACCCCCAAAAAGAAAAACUAAUAAAUACUCUUCCCUUCUCCUUCUUUAAGUCCACCCACCCUUCUCCCUCGAAAGCGAAUGCGCCGAGGACUCCUCCUCCCUACGCUGCGCAAUCAAAUCCCCUUACGAUUCCCCAACACAAAUCCCAGGUAAAAAUUUACUACCGAUGUAAAACCCUAGGAUUCGUCUCCAUCGAACUCUGUUUUUUGAUCUGUUUUUUAUCGAAUUUUAGGCGAAUUUUGCGGAGAUCAUCAAUGGCGCCGCCGCCGAUCUUAUCUCUGGCCCUCCCUUCCGAGACCGGACGCGUCCUCAGCAUCCAAUCCCACACCGUCCAGGUGUUGUUCGAUCUUCUUUUCUUUUUUGUAGUUUACUAAGAAUUCGCUGUGGUGUGUGUGUGUGUUUGAUCUUAUUUUACUUGCAUUGGAUUGAGUUUGAUUUGUUAGUGGAGGGAAUUAGAAUGAGGUUUGUUUAGUUCUGAAUUGGGAUUUACUUGCAUUGAAUUUGAUUUAAAAUUCUAUAAUUUAGGUGUCUAAAUUCAUACAUAGAGAUGAAAAAAUGAAUAGUUAAAAAAAAAUAAGAGAAAAAGUUUUCUCCUUUGGUAAAGGGUAAAAUAUAUGGAUCGUCCCUGGACUAUUCCAAUAUUGCCAGUUGGUUCCUGUACUUUUGUGUUUAACACUCUAGUAUGUAAGCUGUUGCAAGUACUAUUGUUUGCUUCUGGCCCUUCUGGGCUAAAAAGUUUUGUCUUUUAUUGCAAAAUUAUCUUUUUUGACCUCUUUGAAGUAAAUCUACAAUCAUUUUAUUUUAAAAAAAAUAGAAAUUUUUUGUUUGAAGCGUUAUAUAUGAAUGUAGCAACUAAAGUGUUUAAGUUAAAAUUGCGUAAGUUUAAUAAAUGAGCAAUAAUGGCUUUUUUUAACGGCUCUACUCAAAUAGUACUACAAGACUUGGCACAUGUUUGGCAAUUUAGAGCUUCUUGUAGAAGUGUUGUUUGAGUAGAAUUAUAGAACUGUAGAACUAUUCAGAAAAGUACCUAUAGAUUAUUCACUGAGAGCACCCCAAUAGUUUCUUGCCACAUCAGAUAGGGAGUUUUGGAUGGAGCUUCUGCUUUUGGAGCCAAAAAUCUUAUUUCACCUUCUCACCAUAGCAAAAGCUCUGGACAUUUAGUCUCCCAAAUGCUUGACUGCCACUUCUCAGAUUGGAGAAGCUGCUUUAGAAAACAGGCCAAACAAGCACUUGGAACUAAGAGCCUGAAUCACUAGAACAUUCAUGAGAACACAUUAGAAAGUCGUAUGAUCACUUGCCAUAUUUUUGGAAAGCCUUGUAACAUAGUACACAUUCAACUUUCCCUAGCAAACAAAUGCACAUUGCUAAGCGCUUCACAUUAGUUUUCCCUUAAGACAUGUUGUUUACACUCUAUUAACUCUCUUAAUUUAAUCUAGGGAUAUGUCGGCAACAAAUCAGCUGUUUUUCCUCUUCAGCUUCUUGGAUAUGAUGUGGACCCAAUCAACUCCGUGCAGUUCUCCAAUCAUACAGGCAAGCUGCUUUAUAUAACUUCCUUCCAACAUCCUCAGAAAUCAGAGGCCUGAUAAUAUGGUGCGAAUUUGUUCGCUGCUGUAAAUGCUUGUUUCGUGGGAUUUCAUGGUCUAAUUGUCUGUAGGAUACUGCAGGAUAUCCAUCUUUUAGGGGGCAGGUUCUUGACGGUGAGCAGCUAUGGGAUCUUAUUGAAGGCCUUGCAGCAAAUGAUUUAUUAUUCUACACACAUUUAUUGACAGGUUUUUGUUUUGUUUUUUAUAUCCUGUUUUCAUUUCCGUAAAUCUCUACAUUCUUAAGAUAUCAUGCUUUUCUUGUCUUGUCGAUUAUAUUGGAAUUUCUUUCCAUUCGUAAGUACGGACUUCUAAUGUUUGCAUCUCUUUCAGGUUAUAUUGGUUCAGUUUCUUUUUUGAAUACCAUUUUAAAAGUUGUUGAGAGGUUACGCUCGAUCAAUCCCGCCCUAAUCUAUGGUAGAUAUUUGCAAUCUUUUUAUUAUUUUGUUAUUGGGCAAUAACUUUUAUUAAAUAUAUUAUAGUUGUUUCAUCCAAUUCUAAUCAUUUUUUGCUUUGUAUCAUUAAAAUAAGAUAUAAAUCUUUUGAUGAUUUCAUUUUGCUUGCUAUUCCUGAAAUAAAAUAACAGCUUCAUUUUGAUUCUUGAAUAUUUUUUAUCCUGGUUUUGUGCUUUCAUUUGUUUUGGAAGUGGAAUAUCUUUUGUUUAUCAGUUCUUAAGGUGUUUUGUUACAAAUGAUAUCAUUUUCUUUUCAUAUUAUGACUUACUAGUAAUAAUAAUACUUAUAUUUCACCUUCUUGUACAAAGGAAAAUGAAGUGUAUAUUGACAAAAUGGCUGUGAAUAAUCACAUCAUGCUGGUUUGAGAUAUCUAGGAAGUAGAAUAUUGGUAGGCUUGCAAUAAGUGUAAUACUAGACAAGGUAGCGACUGACCCAUGAUGUUAAGGGAACUACUUUACAAGCAAUGCAUCAUUUAUUAAUGUAUUAUGAAUGAGAAAUUCUAUGGAGUUUUUCUAUAUCAUUUGAAACUUGAGUUUACGAUGCAGUCUAAUCCAUAUGAAAUGGUUUAUUUUGAGUCGUGGACUUAGGAUUGAAUNUUUGAGUUUUACAAGCUCUUAGAAACUUUCUAAUCACUUACAACUUGAAAACAUAAUUCUAAGAUCUAUAAUUAAGUAUGAAUCACCAUAAACAAGAUUUAAAGCUUACCUAAGCAUCGUGAUUCAUGUUUUACGUGUUUUGCGUCCUUUCCGAUUCUUCGAAGUCUUGAAUUCUUCGAUCUUCAAUACUCCGCUCCGGACUUCUUCAAGACUCCGACUCAACCCACGAAACUUGCCAACACAUAGGACCUAACAAAGGCGUCCUGCAGACUCCUCCAAAAGUGAGACACAAACCGAGUGUCUCGAUCAGAUACAAUCAAAGUGGGCACUCCGUGAAGUCGCACAAUCUCGUCAAGAUACACUUGUGCGAGCUUCUCCCGAGACCAAGUCGUAUGAAUAGGUAUGAAGUGCGCUGACUUCGUCAACCUAUCCACGAUCACUAAAUAGCAUCAUGCCCGGCCUGAGAGCGAGGCAAUCCAGUCACGAAAUCCAUGGUGAUCUUCUCCCACUUCCACACGGGAAUAGGCAAAUUUUGAAGUUUUCCCGCGGGUAAACGGUGUUGUCCAUAUCAAGAAUCCGAGGGUUACACCCGUUAUCCAAUCCAUCUAAACUCCACCGGAGUACUUAUGUGAAUAUCACUCACCAAAGAGAGGUGAGAUAGCAUCGAAUCAUCGACUCAAACCCCGACGAUGGUCUCGCAACCCAAUAUCAAAUUCUGUCACGAGGUUGCACAACGGGGUGCAACUCUAUUCCAUAGCUAAAUAUGAUGUAAUUUCCACAUGGCUACCAUUCCAACUUGCUUGGCACGAAUGGCUCCAUAAAUAACAUCCACGGCAUCAACCCUUCCGAUAGCAACGGAAACCGACGAAUCAUCCAAAUUUACUUACCAAAGGUGGCUGCUUGAUUCCUCAAUCGGCAUUGCAUCCCAAUGCCUCCACGUCAAUCCCACUUCACCACCCGGGUAGCGCUCUCAAAUCCUUUACCAUGAAUAUGAUCAUGGACCAAAGUUCAGAAGCUUCUCCAAUACACUAAGGUCAUUCCCUUAGUCUCAACUCGAUGCCUCAAAUAACCUUUUUGUAAGCCUAAGUCAAGGGCUUAUCUUCGAUAGGAGAUAUCAUAACAUUAACCGUUCAGUUGCUCAUGAAGAAUCACUCAAAAAUUCUCAUCCUCAAUGCUUUCCGUAGCAUCAGAUGCUCUAGGUGUCCAUAGUCACCGAGCUCAUCUCGAGUGAUAGAGAGGGAUAAAUCCACAAUUCAAUAAUGGCUCUCUAUCAAUGUCAUCCUGAUGUGACCAUCAACCAAAAUGUCAAUCCAAACAACUCUCUCACGCAAUUCCCGUUCCCAAGAUUUCGAUUCCUGGUGCAUAAACCGAACAAGGGAAAAUAGCAACUUGGUAUUUUUCCCUCUCAAGUUUCCAACCACUUGAUCCAACAGUGAGAGUUUCACAUCUCGAUCACGUCAAUCUGCCUCGCAUUCAAUCCUUGCAAAUCUUCAUCGGAAUACUCAUGGUUAUCAGCGACUGGUUCCACAAAUCCAUCCAAAGGGCUUGGAAAUUAUCAUACAGCAAGUCCCUAACACUGGUGGAGUACCACGGGAUUAGGCAACAUCACAAUAGCCCUCGUGAUGUCCCAACCCAGCAUCAAAUCUGCUUGAGGCAUAACCUCAAACUUUCAACGCAAAACGGUAUCACUCAGAUUGCAUUGCAAUCUCACCAAGUACACCGGCAAACUUGAGGCGAACCGAAAAAAAUCAAUGAGCCUCAACCACAAUCCAAAUACUCAAUCGUGAUUCAAUUUAGAUCACGAUGGCAGACAUACAGUCGAUACGACCCAUCCGGUCCCACAACAGGUGGGGGUGCUUCUUCACGAAGCAAAACACUAGGUAUAAGAAUCUCUCCGCCAAUCGAGCUCACAAUUUGUGACUCAGACGGGAAAACAACGACAACUCAGAAGAUAUCCUCCACUAUGAGGAUUCUCGAUCAACAAAUGCUAUCGGCCAACUAGGCCCCAAAUCCACUCCAAAUACCCAAUUUUGGGUAGAGAGACAGUUGUCGCAACUAGCGAAACUAAAUCGUUGAAUCGCACCAUUUCGUGUUCAAAGCCUCAAGGCGAGUCAAGUCAGCUCACAAGACCAAGGGUACUAGGUACCCACAAUAACUCCACAUCAAAUAAGGCCAAUCUAAUCAUUGGCGCACAAACCCUCUCACAGGGUAGGGUGUUCAAAACGACACACCCGAUCAUCCGAUCAUCCUACAUGCGUCGAAAAUGAUCAACGCUAACAAUCCUCGGAUUGGGUCACGACAUACUCGGUGUAUCCUCGAUCUCACGAUCCAACACGUGGCAUUCCACGUUCCAAGGUCAAAGCUCGGACUACCGUCCUGACCAAAAUCUGUCCUACCCGUAGGUACCGGGCCGCUGUCACACACAGCUGACUGCGCCUGCCCGAAGGGCCCAGGCUCCACAGUCCACAAACGGUCCAGGCACGGUCGUCCCUAAGCACCAUCCGACAAGCAGCCGAUCAAGGGAUGCAAACAAUGCAAUCAUCGUGAGAUCUACAAGCAUAGCAAGACAUGCUACCCGCAACCCGCAAAACAACCGCUUAGCUCGAGAGGAGCCACUCAACAUCGCAAACAGCGAACUAACGGAAUGCCAUGCAACUCGGCAAAUAGCCGAUCAAAGUAUGGAUGCAAUGCACCGAAAUCAACCAAUGUACAACUCGAAUGCCACAAAACAAGCUGAUACCUGCAGCCUCAAGCUCGGCCGCUGUCGCCUCCGCGGUCUGGGCCGCAUACAUGCGCCCACUCGGGACCUGUCGGGAUCCCUCGCUCUGUCACUGAACGGAUGACCGCCCAGGCUGGUACUAUGUCGAUGGAGUCCCCCGGCUGGCAGCUGGUAGAGCCGGUGCCGAUGCAGAUGAUGGUGCCGGUGAUGAACCCCUCGGGCAUUCGGUCCAGAUGUGGCCCUCCUGACCACACUGGUAGCACCUGCCCGCCCGUUGUGGACACUGCGGUGGGUAGUGAGGACCACCGCAAAUCACACACUGGGAAGGCCGGCGACGAUCAGAACCUCCACGGUGUAUCGCUGAGCCACGCCCACGCUGCAGGCUCUUAGGGUGCUUCGGCGGCCUCCUAGAGUGCGUCUGGCCCGCACCCUCAGCCGUGGGCCUCUUGGCCUUAUCCUUGUCCAAGGCCUCUCACCGCUCCUGCAGAUCCACCGCGCCGCUCUCCACAAUGAGCGUGCGGUUCACCACCUCCCGGUAGGUUUGGAAGUUAGAGGAUUGCACGAACCGGAAGAUCGACGGUCGCAAUCCACUCUCAAAGAUACGGGCCUUGUCCUCGUCGUCCCGCACGACGAAAAGCACGCAGUGAAAAAGCCGAGAAAACUCCCUCUCAUACUCGGCCACUGUCCGGUCUCUUUGGCACAAGUUGCGUAAGUCCUGUUCCAUCUUCCUCUUGACGCUGUCAGGGAAGUAGUGCGCCAACAGAAGCUCCUUGAACUUGCCAAAUCAAUGCUGGGGUUCUCCUGUAGAUCCAACCACCAGCGAUAGACCUCGCCGUCCAGGUGGUGAGUGGUGAGCCAAACUCGAUCCCUCUCUUCCACGAAGGUGUCGCGGAAGAGCUUCUCCAUAUGCAUCAACCACUUCUCCACGAUCCAGUGGUCGACCUUCUCUCCGUCGAAUAUCCAGAGAUGCACCUUCUGAACUCAUUGAGGCGCUCCAUCAAUCUGUCCCGCUCCUCUCCAAUAGCUGUCACCGGGAAAGCCGCCCCCGCCGUAGGCGCCCAAACUGGCGGUGCCGCAAUCGCCUCCUCCUGUGGUGCUGCCGCAGGCGCCGUCCGAGAUGUGUCAAGUGUAGGGGACGACCCUCGGGGUGCAACCACGUCCACCGGUGCGGGUGGCGUAGGAGCCUGUGUCUCUCUAGCAGUAGCCUGCUGAAGUAGGAGGUCCUCCAAGCGCUUCAUCCGCACCUUCUGUCGGCGCGCUGCCUCCGCCUGCUAAGCCACCAUAUCAGUGAGGGCCGCAAGCUAGCCUCUCAACUCACGGACCUCGCCGGAUCCAGAGGUAGCGGAGGUCUUGACCUCCUCCAAGUUUGCCGCAUUAUCCGCUCCGGCAGAUUGGGAGUGUGUAAUCGGCAUCGUCACUACCAUAUCAUAAAAGCGCAAGUUAGUAAACUCACGCUAUCGAAUCCCCGCUCAAGAAGGUAAAAUCCAAAUCAUGCGAAAGUAAGGAAGUGUCCUACACUACUAACUCCCGAUGUUACGUUGUCGGCCGCCAACGUAACCCUCCUCGAAGUUAGAAGCCAUACACUUCGAUUUAACUGCACUUUCUAAAGUUAUCCAAGAUACCCAAUCAUGAUACUUUCGCUUACAAGCCAAAUAGACCUCGUCUCUCUCACAAGUCUAUUUCCUAUAGUCCAACCGGCCUAAGGUUUGCUAGGUCCCCCAAGACUCAACCCUAGGCUCUGAUACCAAACUAAUCUGUCACGCCCCGGGACCCGGCAUAGGCCCGCCCGGUGCGUGCCCAAACCCGCCAUAUGCCUGCACAUAUAAGGCGUCUACAACAAAAUAGAUAUGGAAGCAAGAAGGAAUAAAGUCACUAGAGAUAUCAGAGCUACUAACAGCUAACAACUAACAACAAGUAGAGAAAUGGGAAAGUAAACUGCCAACCAUAAGGAUAAAGUAAGUACAAGAGUAUCCCAAAAGUACUACAAAAGAGUAGUCACUAUACAAGGUACAACUCUUCUCCUCUCCAAAAAGCAAACAAAGAAGAGGUAGACCACCUAGCGAACGCCCCUCGAUCACAAGCUAGCUCGUGGCGAUACUCUUUCCGCAGUCCCUAGCCUCGCCCGGAGUGGAAUGCUCUGAAAUAUAAACAUGAAACAGAGGGCGUGAGAACUAUAAUUUAUAAUUCCCAGUGGGCAAUUACUGAUCUCAGCACAAUGCACCACUAGGCCCAAAGAAAAGGGGCAAGUAACGAUAAUAUUAAACAAUAAUAAGCUGCUGAAUUGAAAGCAUGUAUGAAAUGCUAUACUACUAUGCCACAUGUAAACAUGAUGUGUAUCAAUGCUAUCAUGAUUGAAUAUGCCAAUACAAGGGGAAUAUGUUCAUCAUAUCUGUCAAGUAUACUAAGAUGCAAAGCAAUUCUAUCAAGUAUACUACAUGUCCCAAAAUCUCAAAGCCACCCUAUAAAUAUGCCAAGUGAUCCAACUACUAUGAUUUAUCUAGUAGUGAUUCAUGUUUAAGAGUUUAUGUCCAAGCUCAAUCUUGUUUUAGGACCUACACGAGUGUAGUCCGACUUGCGCCGCCUAAGUGUCGGAGAUAGCUCCAACAUUUUCACUCUGGAAAUGAGUCUAUCCUUCCCGACCCCGUAGGCUUCUCUAUACCGCACGAGCGAGCAUAAGUCACGUAGGCCAACUCCGGAGUGCCGACUUAUAGGAAGCGACCCUCACAAGCAUGUGCGAAUGAGCACAAAUGGCAAGCAAGCAAGUCAUUGUCUCAAGUAUCCAAUCGACAUGUCUCUAACAUGGUAAUAUCCACUAGUAACCCAACGGUCUAGUUCUAUAUCUCAAUGUGAUGUUUUACCACUCACUAUGCUUAGUGCCUCUUUAUGACACUUAAGGCUUGCUACAAGCUAAGCACAUUUCAUAUUCCAUGCCCCAUUUAUGACAUUAGUACUAGGUUCACAUGUAACCCGAGCUCAAUGCCCCUUUAUGAUAUUAGCCCAAAUAUUCUCAAGUAGUACAAGCCCCCAAGCCUCUUAAGGCCUACUAAACUCCUUUGUGUCUCAACUAGGCAUAGGUUUAAAUGCAUGAAACAAUGCUCAUUUCUAUUGUAAGAAAUAUGGUCCCAAGUCCAACAUAAGAAUGCCAAAAGCUAGUAUAAGCCUCACAUGCAACUCUCUAUUACAUAGAGAUCCGAAAUUUUAUUGUACAUGACAUAGGGAUGUUAAGCAUUUUAAAAUUCCCAAUAAAUACAUUCAGCAUAAAAAUGCAUAAAUUUCUACUUUACAAAGCAUAAAUCACCAAAUAUGAGCAUUUCUCAUAUUGUAGGCUAGGUCAAACCCACCAAAACUCUUGCAACUCUUCGUAAGCUCUGACGAAGAUGCCCACUAGUCUCCUAGCACUCUAAAGAUGUAGGAACGAGAGUCAAACAGACCUUACGAACAAAACAAAGCUCAAUCAUUAACCAUCUCAAGCUAAGGUGGAGAAAAACUCACAAAAUGCGAAGGGUGCUCUCUCGAUCUCCAAAUGGGAGUUAGAGCCCUUCGAAUACAAUCUAAACAAAGGUUCUAAGCCAAUCAAUUGAGUCCCAAAGCCCUCAAAUCGAAAAUUUCCAAAAUAAACCCUAAAUCCUAAAAUCUAGGGUUUCAUCUAGAGUAAAGCUCCAAAACUAGGAUCUAGAGGAAGAAAACUAGCCACUUACCUCUAGGAUGCUCCAAACCAAGCUCAAAAUCCUCAAUGGUUAAAGAUUGAUCUUCUACAAAGCUCCAAGUCCAAGCUCCAAGCCUCCAAGGGUGAGAAGAAAGGGUGUGGGGGAAGUCCAAAGCCCCUCCAAGCUUGCUCUUCCUCUCCUUUUUCUUCUUCCUCUUCUUUUUCUUCUCUUUCUAGAGGUGUAGAGAGAGUGUGAGGGAGAGAAAUGAGGGUGAGAGGGAGAGGAAAUGGCCUAUAAACCCUCUCAUGUAACAAAAUCCACAUAGGUCCCUCAAAAAUCCAACCUGUGCACUGUCCGGGUUUAGGCAAUUUUCGCCCAGAGGAACCGAUCUCUCCCAGCUGGGACCAGUCCCUCAGGACCCUCCCGCAAAACAUGCUCUCGGGGACCGGUCUCUCCCAGCCAGGGACCGGUUGUCUCAAGUUUUGCCGCGACACUGUUCCGAGGGAGACCGGUCUCUCCCACCAGGGACCGGUCCCCAAAAGUAAAAACUCUCAGGACUUAGCCAAAAUCUAGAAAUUCGAACUUUUAGGUCGGAAUACAGUCUACGACCUUCCACCAAGUGUGGAAAAGCUCGGAAUCCAAGUCAAGCACUCGAACCUCGCAAUUUGCACAGGUCCAGUGUGUUACAACCCCACCCAGCCUAUUCGGCCCGAUUACAAACAGAAAAGAAAAAAAAAAAAAGAAAAUUCGAUCGCCAUCUCCCCUUCUCCCCUCACUCAAUCCACUGAAACCCUAGAUAAAGGGCCCUUUGCUCUCCUUCUCCUCCGCCACUGCAGCCAACGAGGUAGAGUUCUGGCGGUUACUAAAUGCUUAAAUAAAUAUUGGUAAAUUAGCAGCACUCUUUCCAUAUUAUACCGACACUCUUUAACCAUCACUAUAUACCUAGCGACCCCACAUAUAGCAACACUUUUUAAAAAUGUCGGUAAUUUAGCCAGCAACACUUUUUUGAUCUGUACCGACAUUUAAAAGUGUCGCUAUAUACCGUUUUUGUUGUAGUGAUAGUAUUAGAGCUAUUUUACUUCUCGUUGUUGUAUUUAGAGGCAUAAUAGUAGAGUUACUUCUUUUCCAGUUAUACAUAUAUAUGCAUAGAGGCAUGAUAGUAAUAGAGAUACUUUAUUUCACUUAUUUCUUUCCUGUUUUUUUAUUUUUCAGCAGUGGAUAUUAUCUAUACCUUAGUUGACCUAUUGGAGUAGUAUGUCCCUCUCAGCAGCGUUACCCACUAGGAACUAUAUGUUCAUAGUUCUCACCCCUAUUGGUUGAUUAUUUUUAUUUCACCACAACGGGAGAGGCUAGGAAUCGCAACAAGAAAGUUGCUUCUAAUUAGAGCCAGCUCGACUAAACAUUCUUAGAGGUAGAUCCGAUGCACCUUUCAUUUUGGAUGUAGUUGAAAGAAAUGUUCAUGUAGUUAUUCUUGUUAAACUUCCUUGGGAUAUUCUAGAGAUGUGUUGAGAUGUACCUUUUGAAGUUAUUGUAUACUAGUUAAAGGACUUCGCGCGAUGCGGCGGGAAGAAAAUAGAACAAUAAAUUAUAAUAACUAUUAAUAUUUUUUUUUCUAUUAUACAUUAAUAUUUUUAAAUAUUAUUUCUCUUAAUACUGAAUAAUUAAAUUAAAGAAUAAAUUAAAGAAUAACUUAAAAUAUAUUUCUUUCUAAAAAUAUUUAAACCUAAUAAAUAAAGUGAAUAAAUUAAUUUAAAAUAAAAUAAAAGCUCAUUACAGAAUUUAAAAAAAAUAUAUUAUUUUUCUAUUAUCAUCAAGGUAGAAUUUAUAAAAAAAAUAAAAUAAAAAAAUUAAUUGGAAUGAAAGUACUAUCUUUGGUAUCCUCGACAGCAACGUCUUUAUUGUGCCCUCAUUAACUUUUAUCGUCACACAUACAACUAAUAAAGUAUUUGAUUCCUAAAUUUUAAAUUAGUGAAAAAAUCAGUAGAUAAUUAUCAGAAGCAUAAAAAAUAAGACUAAUCAAAAGGUAUUCGAAAUCAAAAUAGAUAUUUUUUACACUGUAAAAUAAUUCAACUAUCAAAUAUUAUAUUAUUAUAUAAAUUAAUUUAUNNNNNNNNNNNNNNNNNNNNNNNNNNNNNNNNNNNNNNNNNNNNNNNNNNNNNNNNNNNNNNNNNNNNNNNNNNNNNNNNNNNNNNNNNNNNNNNNNNNNUUGUCUUAGCUUGUUCUUUUUAUAUUUUGGUUGAAUUUAUAUGCAUAAUCUGCAUUUUUCUCUGCUCAACUGGCUAUAUUGCUAAACCCGGAACAUCCUUUUUUUGGCAUAUCAUUUGAUUGCAAAAAUUACUAUUUUCUCCCUUUAUUUUCGCAGGCUUUGCUACAGAGAACGCUGUCGGAUUAUCAGAAAGCAGGUUUCGAUCCGAAAACAAGUAGUUUAGAGAUCCGAUUAAUUCAAAGCCAAGAUGACAUCCGAAACCCCACGAUUAAAUUUAAUGCUGAGAAAUACAAUUGAAGCUUUUGCGACACAUACUUCAAAUUUUAUUCCCUAUCAGUGUAAUGACAUUAUGAUUUAUCGGACGAUUUAUUUGGGGGCCGAAGCUUUUCCAAUAGCUUAGGAGGUGUAGUUAAUUAGUUGUGCUUGAAAUAACAGUCAUUUUAGUCCCACAUAUUUGUGACUGAAAUAUAUGUAGUUACUAUGACACCGCAAUAGUCCUACAUAGGAUGAGAAUGGAGUUGUCAUUGGGUAUAUAAGAGGACUCCAUCCUAGUAAUAAUAACUGGGUUUAAACAUUUUGGGCCGAUAGUUUUAGCCCAAAAGUUAUUAUUGCUAGCGGGUCCGGUUGUUACAGCUACAGUAUGAUUAAUUUAAACAUGGUUCCUCUUCAUUAACCGCACGAGGCAAGUGAUUUUUNNNNNNNNNNNNNNNNNNNNNNNNNUAUAGAGAGAGAGAGAGAGAGAGAGAGAGAGAGAGAGAGUAGGGCUAGAAUACUUGUAAAAGUAUCAUAGGGGUGAUACUUGUGUGUUGUUAGCCCUUGGAUGGAGAGAUGUGAUGUUGAGAUGAUGGUGGUAGGUGGUGGGAGGUGGAAUAGUGUUUAAUCCAAGGGCUAUUAAUAAUUAAAAAGUAGAUCCAAUGGCUUAAAACCUAAUAGCACCAUGAUGGUGAUACUUGUAGAAGUAUCAUAGCUCAACUCUAUAUAUAUAUAUGUAUGAUCAAAGAGGGAGAGAGGGGCCCACUACCCUUCUCUCCCUCAAGCGGGGUCCACUACCCCCCCUCCCUCACACGGUCCACCAUGAGGUGCCCGCCCCGUGGACCGCGUGCAGGAACGCCGGUGAGCCCCGCCAGCUCCCCUCACGCAGGGUCAACGAUGGGACCCGCCGAUUGCGGAGAGGGCAGCGUUAGUGUUCCCCUUUCAUGUUUAUAAAUGACUAGUUAUACCGGGAAUAGGUACAACUAUGGAUUUUUGUAAGAACAAGGGUAUUUUUUAUUUGGAUGAAAUUGUGAGUAUAAGCUGGAACUAGAAAAAUUGUGUUUGGAUGGUUAUUGGGAAUAAGAGAAAUAGUUGAUGGUUAUAAAUAGAAAAUAAUGAUAUUACCUCUAUAAUUGAAUUUAAAUUUUUAAAUUUUAAACUUAUAAUUUUAAAUUGAAAAUUUUAACUUUUAAAUUUUAAAAUUUGAAAUUAAAAUUUAAAAUUUAAAUAUUCAAAUUUAUAAAUUUCAAAUUUUAAAUUUUAAAUUUAAGACCAAAUUUAAAUUUGAAAUAUAUAAAAUAUCAAAUUUAAAAUUUAAAAAUUUAUAAUAAUAAUUUUAAAUUUUAAACUUUAAAAUUUACAAUUUCUAAUUUACAAUUUUAAUUUUAAAAUUACAAAAUUUAAAUUCUAAAUUUUAAAACAAAACUCUCUCUCUCUCUCUCUCUCUCUCUCUCUCUCUCUCUCCAGUGGGUGGGAACAUCCCACCCCUUACUGGGUUAUACCAGGUAUAACCCUGUAAGGAGUGGGAACAAUAGUUCCCACCAUAUCAAAUUCUUGUUUGGGUAUAAAGGGGGAUAACCUCCUUAUCCCCCCCUUUAUACCCGAUCCAAAUGGGGUGUUAGGGUUUUGAGGCCUGUAAAUAGAUGGCCGAUCUCAUUGUAUUGGUACCUUUUAAUUAAUUAAUAGUUAAUUUUGUUGAGCAUUAUAGCUUGGAUUAGGGAGGUAAGGUAUAUCAUCGGAGGCAUCAUAAUCCCUCAAAAAAUCACUACAAACAUUUGGUAGGGAGGUAAGGUAUAUCAUCGGAGGCAUCAUAAUCCCUUGAAGAAUCACCACAAACGUUAGGUAUCAACCAACAUUAGGACUAAGAGAUAGAGGUGGAUGAUUUCUAGAUGAAACAAAUGAGGGAACGAAUUGGUUAAUAUACUACAGAAUUUGUUUAUAUCCAGUAAGGAUACUUAGCUAAUGAUCAAAAAUAGGGGAUUAAUUAAGGAAUCAAUAUUAUUCAAAAUAUGAAAAUCUUCAGUGUUCUUUACAAAGGAAAACUCUCUACAAGAAAACUCUUAACAAAAAUAAUGGGCUUUCAUAGAUUUUUUUUUUUUAAAAAAAAUUGGUUCAAUCAUGCUAAGAAAAUGAUUAUAGAUACUGGUGCACAAUAUCUAAAAAUACCUCAUAGCAUGUUAUAUACUAUAAGAAAAAAAAUCUCACCUCCCUAGUUGUGGUGUCUUUUUUUUUGGUUUAAUUUGAACAGUGAUAGUGCUCUCACUAUUCUCUUAAAUACAGUAUUAUCAGAUAUUUUUGCUGUAGUACUUGUAGUCUAUGUUGAUGUUCUCAAUUAAUUUGCAUGAUUUGCAGGGUCAUCCUCCAGAACAAUUUAAGAUUGUGAUACCUAAGAUACCUGCAUAUUUCACGGUAUGCACUUUACAGUGUAAUUUAGUUUCGUAUUUUUGUAUUAUGAAUGUUACUCUUCUUAUUUACCUUUUCUUUGUUUUGUUCUUUUCCCUUCGACCACAUCUACAGUAAUCUUAGUUUAACAUGCUACUAAAAUAGAUAUCCCUUGGAUUGUUUUUCAUGUGUUAGAUGUUUAAGCCAUGUUGUCGCACUAAUAUUGUCAUCUCUAUGUUUACGGGGUAGUUCUGAAGAUGACUUAAAGAGCCUUCAAACUUGGUGAUUUUUUAUCACUCCAAGUUAGUCUACUUUAGCCAAAAUCAAACAAGAAAUGUUGUGCCCUGGUUGGCACAGUACAUGCUUUGAGGUUUGUCAUGCUGACCCUUGACAUGAAAUAGCAUGCUGAUGGCCUUAUUCAUCGGCAUGAUGUAGCAUGCUCGGCACAGCUCAACACUUUAAAUCCAUGAUGUGGCUCUUUCAAACGAUUGAUUGAAGGACAGAGCAAAACUUGAAACGGUGAAGGCUACUUUGGGUCGGAUGAAAGACUAGUAUAGUAGUCUCAAUCUAGAUGGGGGACUCAUCAAAUCAUCAUUUUUUGAUUAAUAGUCUAAAUUUGAUACCAUUAAUCUUUCUCAACCUUACUCAUAUAUAUGAUUUUCUAUUGUUUCAACACGUUAGAUCAUUUCAUCCUCAUACAUGGAAACUCUAUCCAUUGUGAAACUUAUUUCAAAUAAAUGCAAAUUUGCAACUUGUACCAUUACCUCACCUUACUUACCUCAGUCCCUUUCUUUCCAGAUAAACUAAUUAAUUUAAUUCUUUCCUACUUUAUAAGUUGGCUACCUAGCCUUAUUUGUUGCUUUGGGGUGUAACUUGCAGGGGACCGGAGAUCUGAUGACUGCACUUUUGCUAGGAUGGAGCAAUGUAUGUUUACCGUGUACCUUUUGCUAGAUAUCUGCAUGAAUUUGACUACUAAUCUCACAGUAUCAUUAAACUCUGGAUUUUAUGUUGCUUUUUUUUUUUAAAUUUUUUUAUCAGAAAUAUCCUGAUAAUCUUGAGAGAGCAUCAGAAAUAGCUGUAUCCAGUUUACAGGUAAUCUGUCUCUCAUAUUCUACUAUAGCAUUCCCCUUUUGCUUUUACAUUUCCUGAUCUACUGAGCACCGACUUGCUUUAAAGUUUUCUCUAUUUGAGCCUUCUUGGUUUGCCUAGUUUGUUUGUGCAAUCAUGUUUGCAACAAGAGUACCAAGCUUUUAUCCACAUGUAGAGUUAGGAAUAUUGGGUUUGAUCAAUAUUUGCCAAGUAUUUUUGCAGCUAGAGGAUCCUUCUCUGAUUCACAUGCCAUAGAGUUAUAUUUACACUGUAGAUCACUUCAGUGAAUCCUUCUCAUAGAAACUGAAUAGCUCAAACACGAGUUGAGAUGGUGUGCUUUUAGAAGCACGGAGACUUCUGUACUUGCAAGUUUUUCAAUGAGAGACUUCUGAAUCGACAAUCGGUUUUGGUAGACUCUAGACUAUUUAGAGUCUCAAGAAAUUUUUACACUUUUUCAAUAUCAAUUACCUAGUGACUUGAAGGGCUAAAAAAUCGAUGAUUUUAAUGGUUGAUAUGAGCUGUUUGCAAGUUUAACGGUAUAAAACAUCCAAAUUAGGUGAAAUUUUAAUUAAAAUUUUUUUAUUAGUAAUCUAGUAUCUCUAAUUUGAAAUUUUAGUGUUCUAUAAUCAUUUUUUAUGAAAUUUUUAUUUUUCAACCGUUCAGUUUGAAGCCAUUCAAUCACUAUGUAAAUAAUAUAAAAAAUUCAAGAAAUUUGUUUUCUAAAUAGUGUAGAUAAUCAAGAUUAAGUUUAAUGGUUCUGACCGUCGAUUCAGAAGUCCUUUCAUCAAAAGUAACUUGAAAGCAUGGAGGCCUCUGUGCUUCUAAAAAUGCUCCAGCUCAAAGUCAUUCUAACACUGGUUUAAAUCAUAAAAAAGACUCCAACUUUCCCUAUAAAGUUCUAUGACUUCAAUGAAAAUUGUUUGGCUUUAAGCGGGCUGUGAAAUCUGUUGUUAAACAUCAACUAGACCAAAAAAUUAACUUAAAAUUCAUAACUCAUCUACAACUCCUUCAAGAAACCAAAUAGUUAAUCCCUUUGAAUAAGUCUCCAUGUGCAUCCCUUACAUUCCAAACAAUGAUUCAACAAGUUCAGUCCUUCCUACUUCAUCGAUCUCUGUGAUCUGUGAAUGAAAUUCGCCCGCGGGUGCACUGUACAAUCUUCCAGCAAUUGAGCAAUAUAGGAUGAUGAAUUUGGUCUACGAGCGUCUCUGUUCUUUCUUGUCUUAGCUUGUUCUUUUUAUAUUUUGGUUGAAUUUAUAUGCAUAAUCUGCAUUUUUCUCUGCUCAACUGGCUAUAUUGCUAAACCCGGAACAUCCUNAUAAAACAUAAUAACUAAGUACAACUUUUACAGGCAAAACACCAAAUUUUGAUCCUAAAUUAAAUUUUUUUGAAAUGUCCUCAAAAUUGGCAAAACUUAUAUAUGGUGUCGCAGUUGUCAAUAGAGUUAAAGAGUCAAAAAAAUUUAAUUUAGGAUCAAAAUUUGGUGUUUUGCCUGUAAAAGUUGUACUUAGUUAUUAUGUUUUAUAUGCUUAUUGAAGUAGCUGUUAUUUUAUACCAAUUACUAUAGUUGAUCAAAGCACAUGGAAUUAUGAUUCAGUACCAGCAACAGUUAAUAUUUCUUAUAAUAAUAAUAAUAAUAAAAAAUAUAUAUUUGUUAAUAGAAGUUGGACUGGAAUAUCAUUAAUAGUUUUUACCGUCUUUUGCUAUCGAGUUUUUAAUCUUUGGAUGAAAGAUUAUAGGGUUAGGAUGAUAGUAGGGUUAGGAUGAAAAACCCUAUUAAUAUUAUUAAUAGGAUUUGUCUGAAAAAGCCCUGGAAGGGUUUAGUGGUGAUUCCCCUAGAGUUGAGUGGAUGGUUGGUUAAAUAGUAUGAUCCAAAGGGUAAAAUUGAUUCAAGUGUAGAUUUAACGGCUAAAAAAUCGAUAGCAAAAGAGUCUAAAUACUGUUAAUAGCAUUUCAGCUCAACUUUUGUUAAUAGAUCGUAAACUAUUGCACCGAAUCAUUUUUUAAUUUAAGAAUAGUUUAUGUUUUUGGAAACUUAUUUGGCUCACAUUUUGUGAAGCUAAAAGGUUAUCACUCUUGUUUUCUGAUGUAUUCUUGUUUGCAAAGAACAUUUGAUGCCAUGUGGUUCUACACUUCUACUACACCUUCAAUCAGUGCCUUCCAAAACAUUGAGAAUUUUUGCCUUUGCGGACUUCGCCCUAGUUUGGAAUUGCUGUCUAAAAGCAUCUGCUUUCAUACUUUGAAAGGCUCAAAAUGUUUGGAAGCGCUUUUUAACUCUUUUAUUUUUUUAUUUUUUUUAUUUUUUUUAUUUUUUUUAUUUUUAUGUUUUGGACCAUACAAAGUAUGAAGCAGUGUUUUUAAACAUUACAGUCCCAAAUUAGGUCUUGUAGAUGUGAGAGUAUAGAUUUAGGCAUGUUUUAAAUGCUAGGGAUAUAUUGAGAUGAUAACAUAGCUUGUUGGAUGUGAGAGUUGAACCUAGGAGAGAAAUUUAGGAAAAAUUAAUCUGUGGGUCAUUUCAGAUAUUGAACCCUAAAAUUCUAACUAAUCCAAUCACUUGGACACCCUUUGGUGAGAAUAGAUAAAAUAUAGAAUAUAUGAUAUACCUAUUGAAGCUUAUUUAGUUCAAAGAGUUCGAGUCAUAAGGUUUGGGCUUAACAAUACGCAUCGACUCUUUUCUUUUUACAUGUGGGACUAACUUUGACGUGCAAACAUUCCUAAAAGGAGAGAGAGAGAGAGAGAGAGAGAGAGAGAGAGAGAGAGAGAGAGAGAGAGAUUCAAUACUAUUUGAUGAGAAUGGAUAUAGUGUUGUAUAUGACACAUCCGUUGAGAGAGAGAGAGAAUCAACACUAUCUGAUGAGAAUGGAUAUAAUAUCAAAUAUGACGCAUCUGUCAAAAUUCAUUUGAUAUAAAAGUUUAAGUUAUAAGGUUUCGGCCUGAUAGUAUGUAUCGACUAUUAUCAUUUUCUUUUCGUUUUACAGUAGGACUAUCUUUUACACAUGAACAUACCGAGUAAGAGAAAGAACGAGAGAGAAAAGAGAGACUUGUCAUGGUGCUACCAUGACCGCGAGGUGGGAAGCGUAGGAGUAGGAGAAAAUGGAGGUACCAGAGGAGACAAUAGAGGAUCCAUGGCAAGAGAAGCAAUGGCGGCGACGCGCUUGGUAAAGAAGAAGGCUAUUCGGGUUUUGGGCUCGCGCUCCCUCACUGUAGCCUCACUCAAUCCGCCUCCGAAGCCGCAGCGGUGCGAUCAAUGGGAAAGGGUCGGUUCGGGUGCCGGGUUCGCACCUCCUCACUAUGACGACGGGACCCGGAUCCGCAUUUAGCUUCGGAUGCGGGUUGAACUAUGUGUGGGCCGGCCCAAGUGAGGGAUCCAGCGUGAGACAGAAUUGAACCCACUAUGGCUCAUGUAGUUUAAAUACAAUUACAUUCAUAUCCCUGUCCAUUGUAACUCUUACAAUCUGGUCCUCGUAAUUAGUAGAGUAUAAAUAGCAAGCUAACAAUGUAAUGAAUCAAGCAGAAAAUUGAAUAAAAUUCCUUUUUCCCCAAUUAUCUCUCUUCUCUUCUUCUCCUCUCGAUCCCUCUUCUUCUCCUCUACUCGAACUCCUCUCUCCUCUUCUCUCAAGCUCCUCUCUAUCCCUGGUUCGUACUCAUCUCAUCCCCGUCAAGCUGAUGACCAAUUGAAUUGGAAGGUGGAGCCAUUUCCCAUCAUCUCCAAUUCUACUCAUCCUCAGCAUCAACCAGCUUCACAGGAGAGCAAUUGGAUCAGGUAUCCAAUUUACAUCAUCUCCCAUAGCCAUCCAAACUGAUACGGUGGUUGCUAUAGGAUCAGUUUAUUACAAGACUCAACACAAUCCGAUGAGAAUGAAUAUAAUAUUAAAUAUGACACAUGAAGUUUAAGCCAUAAGAAUUAAUUUGGUUUGAUAAUAUAUAUCGACCAUUAUCAUUUUACAUGUGGGACUUACUUUUACACAUCAACAAACUAAGAGAGAGAGAGAGAGAGAGAGAGAGAGAGAGAGAAGGGUUUCAUGCAAGAAACUAGAUACUUGACAUGCAAGUAUCUCUCCAUAUUCUAUUAUAACCAUAUGGAUUUCACUUCACAAACCAAAAUUUAAUUUGUCAUUGGUGAUUCAAAACCCUUAUCACUUAGUGCACUAUCAAAUGCUAAAUGAAUCUUUUUUCUCCUUAUUUUGAACCAAUCUUCACAGAAUAAACUAAUGACCAAGUAAGAAGAGGCUACUAUAUAUGAAGUAAUGCUUUAGAAUGAUAGCAUUUGCCAUAAACCUUUGUACCCCAAUCAAUUGUUCAUAGAGUUAAUUGCUUGAAGCUUUGAGAACACAUUAACUCUUUUUUAAUUCACAAGCUUCAUGGGCCUCAUCAUCGCAUUGUCUUCAUGAUCCAAAAUCUGCAUUGCAAUUAUGGAAAUAAUAAUUGAAAAAAAAACAAAAGUUAGCUAAACCUUGGAAUGUGUAUUUGAAAUGAAAAAAAUUACACUAUUAUACCAAUACCAAUGAAAGAAAAUUAACAAUAGAAGAGCCAAAUGCUUGAAUCUAUGGUUUAGAUUUUGAUUUAAUAUCAUUUUUAUGACUAUGAGUAUUUACAGUGGUUACAGUAAUCAGGGUGAUGAUAUUAAUAGCUAUGAAAGUGACUAGAUUUAUUGAAUGUGAUUAGCGCAUGGUAAAUUUAGAUCUAAUAAUAUUGUUGAUCCUUUGGUAAGAUUGGACAAGAUUUGCUCAAACUUACCUAAUCUGAGACGGAGCCAUAGUGAGGCACACAGUGGCCACGGCCUUUCUCAACUUUUAAAAAUUACAUAUAAGUCCUUUAUAGUAAAAAUUAAAAUAUUAUAAAUUUAAGUUUUAGGAGGGCCAAAUUGAUUUGUUUUUUAAUAAAAUUUGUGUUCCAAUAUUUUUCCGAACCCCUUGGAUCUUUUCCUUUAGCUCUUAUAGUCUUGCUCCUUCUUGAGUGUAUUGUCGGUGCUAUUCUUAGUAAUAGAUAGCCGGUAAACAUGACAAACUUCUUUUUCUUACAAUCUGAGGUCGAAUCUUUUUUUUUUCUGCCAAAUCUAAAUAUAGGCUAAAUUACAAAAAGCCUUUCUUGCGUCUAAUCCCAUCUUAAUGACACUCCUACAUUAAAAGUUAGUGUUAAUUACCUCCCUGCAUUUAAUUUGUCUUUGUUUCAAAAUAAGUUCAAAAAUUUAGAUUAAUUGUUGAAUUCAGCUUUAAAACUUUAUAGAAAUAAAUUAGUAGAUAAGUUAGUUAUAAUUAUGUAGUAGAAUCAUAAAAAAUUGAAUAAAUUAUUUUAAGAUAUUAUUAACUUUGAUAGUAUUAGCAAAAUAAGAGAUUGUUUUUAUCUAAUUUUUUACCUGAGUUACAAGUUAAACAAUGUAAUAUAUCAGCUGGUUUUUAGUAAAACUUUACAACCUAAUUUGCCGAUUAUUUUAAAUUUUCAAAUCUAUUGAAAAUAGCUAUAAAGUACCGAAAAAUAAUUAAUGCAAAAAAUAAAUGAAUUUUGAUCUAUACUUACAUUUUAUACAUAAACCAUUAUUAUAUUUUAAGUGGGUAGGGACCACUACAUCCUAUUUACAUUCUUGUAGUUCAAUCAAAUAUCUUUUCUAUCAUAAAAAUUAUUUGGGAUAAUUGCCUAUAUAACUUUUAAAACUUUGAAAAUAUUUUAUUUAUUCUUUUUUUUUUCUUUCCAAUUUUCCUCUCAUAUGUUCAUCCGUUAUUCUAAAAUAUCCCUACAGUUACCAUCCGUUAAGUUAACUUAGAUUAAACAUGAGUUAAAUAUCUACUAGAGUUAAAAAAAUCAAAAUAACUCUUUAUCCUUAACUUAAGGGCAANAUUUAUUCUUUUUUUUUUCUUUCCAAUUUUCCUCUCAUAUGUUCAUCCGUUAUUCUAAAAUAUCCCUACAGUUACCAUCCGUUAAGUUAACUUAGAUUAAACAUGAGUUAAAUAUCUACUAGAGUUAAAAAAAUCAAAAUAACUCUUUAUCCUUAACUUAAGGGCAAAUAAGAAAUGUCGGUGAUAGUAGAAGGGUAUAUUUGAAAAGAACAAAUAAGAAAAGUCGGUGAUAGUAGAAGGUGUCGAAUCGUUGGCGCUAACCAUUAAUCUCAAAAGUUCGAGUGUUAAAAAUAUUUAAACACCGUUCUCUAAUAGCUUAAGCUUUUAGAGUACAACGAUUGUUUCACAUGGUAUCAGAGAAGAAGGUCCUGAGUUCGAGUCACGCCAGGCUCCUAGCAUAUUAAUUUCCUCCCAUUUAAUUCAAGCCCAUGUCAUGGGCCGAUUAAAAAGUUUCGAGCCCAGACGUGAGGGGGAGUGUUAAAAAUGUUUAAACACCGUUCUCUAACAGCUUAAGCUUUUAGAGUACAACGGUUGUUUCACAUCGAGCUAUUAGAAAUAUACAACUAAUUCACUUAAAAUGUACAGAUACAACGCCCAUGGGUCUCAAUUGUGACUCGGCCUAACCAGCCUCACGCUACUUCGAACAUAAUUCGGCCUAACCAGCCUCACGCCACUUCGAACAUGAUUCGGCCCACCCAGUCUCACGCCAUUCUGAAUAUGACUCGGCCCAACAUGACCUCUCGCUACAGGGUAGAAUGCUGGUCCAUUUAAGCCAACCGAAAUGAGGGGAGAAAUGAUAUAUAUCCUGAUCGGGAGUCGAACUUGUGACCUUUCCUUCACGUGUGGGGGUAUCAAAGUGAUAUGUGAUGCUCGAUCUUACAUACAUAUGACUAUACAAGGGAUUGUUUGGUUGUUUAUAAUUACAGCUGUAUUGUAAUUGUAAUUAUAUAUAGUUUUGAAUUUGGUCUUUAUUUUAAUGCAUUUAAAUUCAAUUGCAAGAGAAGGCUUAAGUGUAGUAGCUAGAACUACGCCUAAUUUGGCCCUUGUUCCAAUUGCAGCACUUAGAGAGAGUAAUUUUAAACAAAAGGUAAACUUUUCCCUCCAACAACUUUUGUAAUAAUUUUUUUUUCCUUUUUAUAUAUUAGACAAUAUCACCGUCCCACAUAUUAAAUAAUAAAAAUUCGUAAAUACACUUUUCAACCGUGUAUAAUCUAGCAAAGUAUUUAUAGUUACAGUACUUUAUAUAUAUAUAUAUAUAUAUAUAUAGAGAGAGAGAGAGAGAGAGAGAGAGAGAGAGAGAGAGAGAGAGAGGAGCUUCUUUUAUAAGCAUGGAAGUAUUUGUGCUUAUGACUUUUAACAGUCGGAUCGUCUCACGAUCUGUACAGUACUAUUAACGAUAUGUCCUAUUAAGUUAUCUUUACUAGUGCCGUACGAAUCUUGAAGUGAUCCAACGAUUAAAAAAUCACAAACACAUUGAGCUUCUAUACUUUUAAAGGCACAAGAACUCAAAGCUCUCUCUCUCUC
Molecule: long non-coding RNA, 64128 nt
Filed under: Ananas comosus (pineapple)
Lineage: Eukaryota; Viridiplantae; Streptophyta; Magnoliopsida; Poales; Bromeliaceae
Description: long non-coding RNA (ACOM_LNC009306)
Source: RNAcentral